This 60255-nucleotide long non-coding RNA is filed under the name Triticum aestivum (bread wheat). Its description in RNAcentral is "long non-coding RNA (TAES_LNC016571)". The record is from RNAcentral. Lineage: Eukaryota; Viridiplantae; Streptophyta; Magnoliopsida; Poales; Poaceae.
CCCCUCCACCUCGUCGCGCUGGAAGUGGGCCGAACUUCGACCUCUCCGCGCUCAGCUCCGACGAGGAGGAAGAAGAAGAAGAGUAAGAUUCCCUUGCUUGUUCUUGUAGUUCUUCAACUUGCUGAUCUUGUCUUGCAUCGGAUCUGAUCCACCCUGGGCUCUUCUUUUCAGGACUCUGGCCCAGAGGGCGGCGAAGAGGGCCAAGGCUCAGGUGGUGGUCAUCGAGGACGAGCCCACUGCGACGACAGGAGGCGCGCCCGAGACCACCUUGCCGGAUCCGGCCAUCACUUUGCAGAGCAGCCCCCAGCGCAGCCCCCAGCGUAAGCAUAUGGUUUACUUUCUGCUUCUGGGUGCGCGUGGUUGCUCUUUUCCUUUGUUGACAUCUGAUCACUGGUUUGUUUGUGCAGGAGCAGAACAGCUUCAUCAGGAGGGCGUGGUGAUCUCCUCCGACUCGUCGUCUGCUUCGACUACGCCACCAAGGGCGGACCCCCCAGCAAGGGAGCGUCCUCCGGUAAGGGCGGAGCCUCCGGCAAGGGAGGAGUCUCCGGCAAGGGACAGCGCUAACGAUCCACCGAUGGUGGAGGUCAUGACAGCAGAUCCUAGCACAGGUACUCCUUCUUGCCCGAAACUUUCCUUGUAGUCUUCUGCUGAUUUCUCUUCUCGGAUACUUGUUUGAUUUCUCCUUCUUCUCCGGUCGUCAGACCCACCCUCCGCGGAUCCGAUGGAGACCGAACCGGGUGGCGAGGAGGACGCGCGCAGCAAUACUGAUGAUGCCGCGGCCACCGAAGAAGGAGCCGGCGCUGACGUGCCUGCCAGCGAAGAGGCCGCCAAGGCUGCUGCCGAAGAAGCUGGCGGGGGAUCUGGCGAUCGCACUGACGGUCCUGAGGCCGCAGGAGCGCCAGGCGCUGCACCGACCGCCGAUCCCUCCGCCGCUGCCGCGGCGGCAGACUCCGAGGAGUCCCAGCCCGACGCCUAUCUGAAGGCCGGCGACGGCAUCUUCAUCAAGCUCCCCUGGGCGUCGAGCUCCAGGGCGCCGAUGGAAGGAGAAGCUCUGGAUGGGGAGGUGCUUGCCUCCGCCGGGUUGUCGAUCGUUGACGCGCCGGGAAGCAGCAGCGGCGAGCCUGAGGAGGAACGGCUGCUACGGAGGCUGCUGGCGCUCUACCGCGCCCGCCAAGUCAAGUUGGAGUCCCGGGAAGCGCUUGUCGCGAGGGCGAGCGUGGACAUAGAGAAGCGUGCGGAGGAGCUCCGGGGUCUUCUCCAAGAAACUCUCCGGGCCUUGGCGGAGGAGCGGGAGCAGCUUGCUGAAGAGCGGAAGGCCUUCCUCCUUGAGAAGGCUGAGGCUGAAGAGCAGCAGCGGCUCACCGGCGAGAAGCUGUACGCGCGAGAAGGCGAGCUGACUCAGCGGGAAGUGAACCUCAACAGCCACGAAGAGGAGCUUGCCGCGCGCGAACGGGCACUUGGCGGGACGCUCCAAGAGGCAAAGGAUGCGGCUGCGGCUGCCGAGGCCGCCAAGAAAGAAUUGGAGGCAAAGGUGGCGCAGCUAGAAGCUGAUCUGAAGGUUGGUGGCAAAGAGCUUGCCGCGCUCAAGCUAGAGCGUGAGAAGGACGCCCUUGCCCACGGUGAGCUGCAGGGCCGACUCGCCGAGAGGGGCAAGGAACUGAGCGCCGCCAAGGAUUCCAACGCAGAUCUGACGCUGAAGCUGGCCACCUUGACGGAGACGUUGGACAGCGCCAGGAAACGGGAGGCAGACUUGAAGAAAGACAUCAAGGCCAACGAUGCGCUGCUGGCGAGGGCCGCCGAAACCCAGAAUCUCCUCAGAGAUAUUGUGGCGCUCUGGACGGAGGGCCUCGUGAACGUUGCUGCAGUCAUUGAAGAGGAGCUGGUGCAGUUGGGGGUAGGAGGCUUCGUGUACUCCUCCGACGAGAACCUCCAACCCAGCGCCAAGCUCACUCUAUUCUUCAAAGGCGUGGCGGUGGCGCUCCAGCAACUCCGGGAACGGAUCCCAAAGAAGUUGGCCGACGAGUCACGCUCGAUUUGUGCCGGAGUCCUGGAGAAGGUGCUGGUGAAGGUGGCCUUCCACAGUCUGGGCCUCAACCUCACCAACGUCCUCAAGAGGCUGCCGGUGGACGCUGAUCUUGACGCACUUAAGGCCCUCGUCGCACCCAUUGUGGACAGGGUGAACGAGGUCAAAAGGGUUGACGGCGGUCGCGUAGAUUAGGCCGUCCGUUUUCUUCUUUUCUUGUCGCUGCCAGUCAUGUCAUGGGAACACUUUAUUAGAGGCGCGACAAGUUAUUUUUGUAAUAAAACUCUAUCUUAGGCAAAAAAUUGCUGUGUUACUUCCUUUACUCGACUCUUGGCUUUGUAUGGUUCUGCCCUACGCUUUCUAGGGAAACUUGCCGGCGCAGGCACCCUUGCCGCGAGCGCCGAGUGCGGAACUUCAGCAGCCUGCUGGCGGGGUCGCUACCGACAAGCAACCUUGUCGCAACUAGUUGCAGCUCACUUAAGUUGUUGAGCGGACUCGAAACAAAGUAAGGGCGCUAGCGGCUCACUUAAGUUGCUGAGCAGACUCGAAGCAAAGUAAGGGCGCUAGCAGCUCACUUAAGUUGUUGAGCGGACUCGAAACAAAGUAAAGGCGCAACUAGCUACGAGUUGGUUCCUCCGCGCACAGGUUUUCCAUACAAAGCACGGUCGUUCAAGGAAAAUAACUCAAAAACUUAAAAAACUGAUUGCUCAAGCUUUAGCAACUUAGCUUUUCUGUCGUCUACUUCCCGGCAAGGAGAAACUUUCUUGAAUGGCCUGGUCCACACAAUUAUCUUCUCCUCCCCCCCCCCCCGGUAAACCUUGUGGGCGAGGGAACCUUCCUUCUUUUGAGAAAGAAACAGAGAAAUAAAGUAAUGAUAUGGAGCCUUGGGCUCGUUAUUGCUUACCGGGGUCUGGUGCUGCACAAAGUGUCAGAUAACAUAUGCGAAAAAGGAUUAUAGCAUAAAAAACUGACAAGAUGUGCAGGGCACAUGAACUUUACUGGUGCACGGGGUCUGCGCCCGGCUUUGUACAAAGGAUUACAUGCAACAGCGGCAAGACUUGUACAAAAGGUGGUUGCCGGAAAAGCUUCCGGCAACCGCGCCCUACGGGUAAAACUUACGAAGAUGUUCAAUGUUCCAGGAGUUGCUCACCGGAAUGCCAUCUUCGGUCUCAAGGCGGACAGCGUCGGGCCUAGUGACUCGUUUCACCCGAUAAGGGCCUUCCCACUUUGGCGUCAACUUGUUGGAAUUCUUGGCGGACUGAACACGCCGAAGAACAAGGUCGCCUUCCUCGAAGCUUCUGGCUUUAACUUUGCGGCUAUGGUAGCGACGCAAAGCUUGCUGGUAGCGAGCGGCUCACACAGCAGCCUGAAGACGGUCUUCCUCAAGGAGCAGCGCGUCAUCUUGGCGCAACUGCUCUUGCUCGAGCUCAUCAUAAGCGAGCACUCGAGGUGACCCGUAAACGAGUUCUGCGGUGAGAACUGCCUCUGCUCCGUAGAUUAGAGUGAAGGGUGUCUGGCCAGUGGCUCGAUUUGGCGUCGUCCUGGUCGACCAAAGAACCACCGGCAGCUCCUCGAUCUAGUUUCUUCCACACUUGUGCAGCCUGUCGAAAGUUCUGGUCUUGAGCCCCCGCAGCACUUCAGCGUUUGCCCUCUCCGCUUGACCGUUGCUUCUCGGGUGAGCAACAGAAGCGAAGCAGACCUUGGCGCCAAGAUCUUGGACAUACUGCAUGAAGGUGCGGCUCGUAAAUUGCGUGUCGUUGUGAGUGAUGAUCCUGUUAGGAACCCCGAAACGACAAACAAUCGACCUGAAGAACUUGACUGCUGACUGUGCUAUCACCUUCCUCACUGGUUCCACUUCCGGCCACUUUGUGAACUUGUCGAUUGCAACGUACAAGAACUCAAAGCCCCCGACAGCUCGGGGGAAGGGGCCGAGGAUGUCAAGCGCCCAGACCGAAAAUGGCCAGGAUAAAGGGAUCGUCUGGAGAGCUUGAGCUGGCUGGUGUAUCUGUUUGGAAUGGAACUGGCACGCUUCACACUUGGUUACUUGUGCAGUUGCAUCCUGGAGGGCUGUCGGCCAGAAGAAACCUUGUCGGAAUGCUUUGCCGGCAAGUGCUCUUGCGCCAAUGUGGUGACCACAUAUGCCUCCAUGUAUCUCUGCCAACAGCUGUUGUCCAUCUUCCCGGCGAAUGCACUUCAAUUUCACACCGUUGAGUCUUAUUCUGUACAGUGUGUUGUCGACAAACUUGUACAUACUUGACUGUCGGGCUACUCUUUCCGCUUCUUCUUGCUCUUCGGGAAGCUCUCCUGUCUGAAGGAAACGGACAAUCUGCUGCGCCCAUGCUGGAGCUUGUGGCUCGACAACAAGGACUAAAGUCGUAUAUGUUGCUGCGGGAACAUCCUCUUCCACGGCAAGAACCUGCAGCUCUGCCGGAGCGUGAUAUUCCCCGGCAAGCUUGCCGGAGCAAAACUUGUCGGGAGCGUUUGCUUCAACGGAACAAACCAAGAGGUUCGCCGGAGCAGACUGCUCCUCAGCACUCUUGGCGUCGAUCUUGGGGACCUUCUUGGCGGCGGCUUCGGGAAGCUCUGCCGGAAAGUAGUCACCAGAAACCAACUUCCUCUUCUUUCUCUGUCCAGUCGACAGUGUUACGGAUGGUUGAGUCAGCUUGAGCACAAAAAUCCCUGGUUCCACAAGUAACUUUAGUGCUGCGCACUUUGACAGGCCGUCAGCAAUAUCGUUCUGAGCUCGUGGAACGUGCUCCAUUUGUAGGCCGUCAAAGUGUUCUUCUAGCUUUCUCACUUCAUCAACAUAAGCUUCCAUCAAUGGACUCUGGUAGUUCUUGUUCACUUGGCGGACGACAAGCUGCGAGUCACCCCUUACAAUGAGUUUCUUGAUCCCAAGGUCAGCUGCGAUUCUGAGGCCGGCAAGCAAACCCUCAUACUCUGCAGUAUUGUUCGUUGCUUGCUCCUUGGGAAAAUGCAUCUGAACUACGUACUUGAGGUGCUCUCCGGUGGGUGCGAUAAGCAGCACGCCAGCACCGGCGCCUUGCAGCGAGAAGGCACCAUCAAAGUACAUCAGCCACUCUUUGCUUGUCUCCUUGACGGGGAUGCUUGUCUCUGGAAUUUCUUCGUCUGGGGUUGGCGUCCAUUCUGCUAUGAACUCUGCCAAUGCCCUGCUUUGGAUCGUUGCAGUGCUCUCAAACUUGAGGCCAAAGCUUGACAGUUCCAAUGCCCACUCAACAAUCCUGCCUGUUGCUUCUGGAUUCUGCAGUAUCCUCUUCAGCGGAAAGCGAGUGACAACUGUUAUCUCAUGUGCCUGGAAGUAAUGGCGCGGCUUUCUUGAGGCCAUGAGAAGGCCGAAAAGCAAUUUCUGUACACCAGAAUACCUUGAUCUAGCCCCCUGUAGAAGGGAACUGACAAAGUAAACUGGGCGCUGCACCAUUUUCCUGUGUACCUCCUUGCACGUCUGCGCAGAUUCAUCUUUGUCGGGACCAGAGCUUGUCGGCGAAGCCCCCUGCUUGUCGCUGGAUUCACUUGUCGCGGUUGCUGGCUCAUCAUCCGCCUCCCUCUCCGCUACUAACGCAGCACUAACCACUUGAUUGGUUGCCGCCAGAUAUAGCAGCAAUUUCUCUUGUGGCUUAGGUGCGACAAGUAUUGGAGUGGAGGACAGGUACCUCUUCAAGUCCUGCAGCGCAUCCUCCGCUUCCGGAGUCCAUUUCAUUGGACCUACCUUUUUCAAUAUUUUGAAAAACGGCAGGGCGCGCUCAGCAGACUUAGAGAUAAACCUGCUGAGAGCAGCCACGCAACCGGCAAGCCUUCGCACAUCCUUGACGCGCUUCGAUGCUUCAAUCUGCUCGAUGGCCUUGAUCUUGUCGGGGUUGGCUUCAAUUCCCCGCUGAGACACAAAGAACCCGAGAAGCUUGCCGGAAGGGACUCCAAACACGCACUUCUCAGGGUUGAGCUUGAGGUUGAUCUUGCGCAGAUUUGCAAAAGUUUCUUCUAAAUCUUGGAUCAGGGUAGCCUUGUCCUUGCUCUUGACCACUAUAUCAUCCAUGUAGGCUUCCACAUUUCUGUGUAUCUGUGGCUCAAAAGCGACAUGGACUACCCUUGCAAAUGUUGAACCAGCAUUCUUCAACCCAAAGGGCAUCCGUACAAAACAGUAUGUGCCGCAAGGGGUGAUAAAUGCGGUUUUUUCCUCAUCUUCUUCUGCCAUGAAGAUUUGAUGGUAUCCUGAGUAUGCAUCAAGAAAUGAAAGCAAAUCACAUCCAGCUGUGGAGUCAACAAUCUGGUCAUUGCGCGGCAAGGGAAAUGGAUCUUUGGGACAAGCUUUAUUGACAUCAGUGAAGUCUAUACAAAGCCUCCAUUUCCCGUUCGCCUUGCGCACGACUACAGGAUUGGCCAACCACGUGGGAUGGAGCACUCCUCUGACAAGGCCUGUUGCUUCCAAUUUCCUGAUCUCUUGUGCAAUGAACUCUUGGCGCUCCACUGCUUGCUUCCUGACUCUCUGCUUGACGGGCCGCGCAUGAGGACAGACGGCAAGGUGGUGCUCGAUUACUUUCCUGGGAACACCGGGGAGCUCGAUGGUGCGUCCUCGACGGUAGCGCAGCACUCCGAAGAGGUGCGCUUGCCGGAGUGGGCAUCAGAGCUCUUGCCGGACUUUGUCUUCUUCUUCCCCCCGGGAGCUUCAGCGGCAAGUGUGUUGUGAUCAGCUGCGGCUACUGCUUCCCGGUAGAUCUUGUUGGCGCAGAUAAGGGCAUCCUUCUUGUCGUCGGGGACAGAGAUGACACUUAUCGGGCCUGGCAUCUUGAGCAUGUUGUAUGCAUAGUGAGAGGCUGCCAUAAAUUUGGCGAGCGCUGGACGGCCAAGGAUCCCAUUGUAGGGUAAUGGAAAAUCGGCAACGUCAAAUGUGACCCUCUCAGUUCUGAAGUUCAUCUCGCUGCCAAAUGUGACCGGCAGCGUGAUCUUUCCCUUCGGCUUGCUUCUUCCCGGGCUGAUUCCUUGGAAUGUGCCGGUCUCCUCGAGCUCGCUGUCAGGGAUCUGGAGUUUCUGAAGGACCGCGGAGGAGAUCAGAUUCAAGCCGGCCCCGCCAUCAACUAGCAUCUUCGUGACCUUGAGGUUGCGGAUAGUUGGUGAAACCAACAUCGGCAAGCACCCGACCGCAGUUACGCGAUCAGGGUGAUCCUCAAUGUCGAAGAUGAUAGGCGCGCUGGACCAUUUCAGAGGCUUGCGUGACUCUACGGAUGGUUCCGCUGCAUUAACCUCCCGCAUCCACUGCUUGAGUUGGCGGUGCGAAGUAUGCAGAGAAGCACCACCGUCGACGCACAGGACCUCUGUAGCUUUCUGAAAUUCCUACUCAUCGGCCUCAUCAUCAUCCACGUCUUCAUAAUCAUCGUCGUCUUCAUCCUUGUCGCGGCCCCAGGGAGGCCUAUCUCCUUGCCGCUGCUUGGCCUUGCCGCGGCGUCCUCCUCGGCCAGGACGUUUCUUGCCGGAUCCACCAGUUCCUUCCUGGGCCUUCUCCUUGUCGCGCCGCUCGUACUCAGCGUUCUGUUGCUCAACAAGCUGUUCGACUUUCUUGCAGUUCUGGAGAUCGUGACCCUUGGUGCGGUGAAUUUUGCAAUACUGCUUGCCGGAGUUGUCCUGCUUGUCAGCGGCCGCCACAGGCUGGGCCUCCUUAUCGGAGCCACCAGCUUUAGCUUCCUUGGCGCCACCUCCGUUGCCGGUCAGCUCGACAGCUAGCACUUCCUUGCCCUUUUUCCUUCUGUUGUUCCACCGCCGGCCUUUCCUUGUCGGGGCGGCAUCCUCACUGUCGGAUCCUCCUGCUCCUGUACUCUCUCCGGGGAGCCUCCUCCCCUCUUCAGCGCGUGCAAACUUGUCGGCAAGGGCGUAAAGCUCGCUGACGUCUCUGAUCUUACACAUCGCCAUCUCCUCCCUCAUCCUUCGGUUUCGCACGUUCUGAUGGAACGCGCUGAUGAUCGCGGCAGGGUGGAUGUCUGGGAUGUUGUGCUGUACAAGGCUGAAUCUCUGAAUGUACUUGCGCAGUGGCUCUCCUUCCUUCUGGGCAAGCAGAUGAAGAUCCCUCUCUUGGCCAUGUGGCUUGUGGCCGCCUGUAAAGGCGCCGACAAACUGAUGGCAUAAAUCUGCCCAAGAGGAGAUGGAAUUGUCUGGCAAGUGCAUGAGCCAGGACCUGACGUUGGGCUUGAGUACCAGCGGGAAGUAGUUGGCAAGGAUCUUGUCGUCCCGUCUCCCGGCAGCCUGCACCGCGAUGGUGUAGAUGCUGAGAAACUCCGACGGAUGCGUCUUGCCGUCGUACUUCUCUGGUACGUCUGGUUUGAAAUUCUUUGUGCUGGGCCACUGGACUUGCCGUAGCUCACGGGUGAACGCAGGACAACCUGCCGUGUACGGCAGAUCGCCUGGUUCCCCUGGCGCAUGCAUAUCAACAGAGGGCCCAGCGCGCUUGUCGGAUUGACGUCGCGCUUCUCUUCGGCGCUUGAUGCGGGUUCGAGCGUCUUCUUGUUGUCGUUCAUGGAGAACUUGGCGCUGGUCGCGACGAGCUCGCGGGUCCGAUGACGCGGUGGAGCCGCUGUCGGGGUGGACCCGGCGAGUCGGCGAUUUUGGCCUUCGUAGUGGAGAGUGCAUGGAAGUCGUGCCUCCCCCGGUCUUGUUGCCAUCGGCUCGCGUCCGGCUGUCCUGCCGCGGCAGCGAGGUGCUUGGUCGCCGCGCAGUGUCGCUGUUGGCGAAGCCGAUGAGGCUCUGGAUAGUGGCCCUCCAUUCGUCGGUCUUGUCCGCCGUCGGAGGAUAAUCUAGGAGCAGUUGAGCUCGCGCCAAGGCUUCUGCUGGGGUUGUGGGCAGCGGAGGUGAACGGUGCGAGGAGUGGGGCGUGCUCGGACUCCUAACCACGUUAGAAGGAGCAGUGCCCCGUCCAGGCGACCGUACUUCGCUCGAGCCAGCAUGUUGACGUGCAUGUUGGUCUUGAGCGCCACGAGAACCACCAGCUUGAUCUUGGCCCAGCGGACGUAUGGCGCUGCGAACGCCAUGACGCUGCUGGUCCCACGCCUCCUGAGAGGGACGCGGUGCGCGCAUGGACGCCGAGGUCUGUGCCGCCUUGUCCUUGGACUUGGCCGCACUGAGGGCUCCCUCGUCGACGCCCAUUCUUCCGCCGACGUCCACUCCACCACCCAUUUGCUCCGGAGGUGGUGAAAGCGACGCAGAUGGAACAGCUGCCUCCGAGUCCUUCUUCUUCGGUGGCAUGUCGAUGAAGACGAUGAAGAUUUAGCUCGUGUGCACGCCGGAUCGGGUUCGCACGAUCUCGACUUCCCCUACCUGGCGCGCCAAAGAUGUCGGGGAAGCUGAUCCACCAACACCUAUGGGGACCGGGCCCCUUUCGGUUCGGAGGGGGGCGGAGGCCGCACAAAGAGCGGAUCGAGGCGGUACACGCGAGCGGUUUUACCCAGCUUCGGGCCGCACGGAUGUGUAUUGAAUUCUUGCUCAGGAGCGAUGGACGCUGCCAGACCGAGUGUGAGAGUGUUCCUGAUGUUUCGAAUGAGCCGAACCUCCUCCACGAUGCGCCUGGGCCUCCUUUUAUACUUUCAAGGGGUCACCGACAGGUGGCAACAUAGACUAGAAGGGUAAAAAUGGAAAAGGAUGCGGUAGGUACAGCUACCGCUACUGUGGACACAGUGCACCCUACCUAACUCUGACGGCAGGGGACAAGGUCAUUGAAUGCCCGUCUGAGUUGCCUAAACAGUGCAAAAAGUGACCGUUAGGAGCGCCACCAUUUGCCACGAUGGCCUUCUCUUCAUCUCCGCUUGCCACCGCGCACCCCUAGCUGUGCAGCCUCCUGCCACGUGUGCUUGGAAGAGUCCUAGAGCGACACGUUAACAGGUGUGCUGGAGCGCGGGCACGAAGUGGGGGUUUCCCGCGGCAAGCUCCUUGCCGCGGUCGUCAUCUUGUCGUGUUUGGGAGCUUGUUGCUCACCGGGCCUUGCCGGGACGCAGGGCGCGUCGCGGCAAGCUUUCUUAGUAUGCCUUGAGUGGCCUUCCUGGCAAGCUCCUCUUGCCGGGGUCUUGUCUCUUCCCGACAAGAUCCUCUUGCCGGGGCCUGGGUUGGCCUUCCCGGCAAGCUCCUCUUGCCGGGGCCUUGGUUGGCCUUCCCGACAAGCUCCUCUUGCCGGGGCCUUGGUUUGAGUACUUUGUUCUUGAAUGGUCUUCAAGGGAACCACGGAGGGUCUUGGCGGUCACCCGGCAAGCCUUGCCGCGGGAUGCUGCGACCGCCCGUGCACAAGUUCGGGGUACUAGGGUACCCCUACUCUAGUACACCGACACGGAGAUGUUUUAUAGAAGUUAGGGGAUGAUCCGGAUCCAACGGUCAUGACCGUGCGGGUCGGGUUCGGAAGAUGGUUUCGGACGCGUGUGAGGGGUCUGUGCGCUGUGCAGAGAAACAAGGCGAUCGCGUGCAAGGGGGUGGUUGGUCUCAGAACGGUCAAAGGAGGUAAGGGGAACACGGCAACUACGAACGGGUGCGAGUUUUAUGAAAACAUAUGGAUGCGAUGCAAAUGAUGCUAUGAGAUGAGAUGCAUGACAUGAACAAAAUGCAAAAUGAAAAAAAAACCGACCAUGAAGGAAUUAUCAUAUUGCAUCUCUGGAAAAUGCAAGAGUUGUAGUUACGAAUUUGGAAAGUUACAUCCAGGGCAUUACACUAAUGCCAGAAUUCGACGACGAGGCCGUUCCACCAAAGAAUAAUACGACCAGGGGACCAGACGUACCGCUUCACCACUGCAACAGAACGGCUACUGACGCCGCGCAUGAUCUACACGAGCAUCUGGAUAAGCAAGCCAGUGUGGCCAGGUCCAUCUACGGAUCUAAAAGACACACCCCGGCGAGGGACUAUGGUCACCACAACAAUCAUAUAAACCAAAUACCAGUUCGGAAUAAGCUCCGGACACAGCAACAGCCAACUGCAUGCCACAGCGCGUCCAGAUACAGAGGGGCUGCUCACCCCCUGUGCUUCACCGAAGAAGUACUGGACCAUGAAUUCCCGCAAGGUUUCAAACCUUUGAACAUAGAGGCAUGCGACGGAACAACAGACCCAGGGGUCUCGAUCGAGGAUUUUAUCCUGCAUAUUCACAUGGCUCGUGGGGAUGACCUCCACGCCAUCAAAUACCUUCCCCUCAAGUUGAAGGGACCAGCUCGACACUGGUUGAAAAGCCUCCCUGAAAAUUCAAUUGGGAGUUGGGAGGAACUCGAGGACGCUUUCAGGGCCAAUUUUCAAGGGACUUAUGUCCGGCCUCCGGAUGCGGACGAUCUAAGUCACAUAAUCCAACAGCCUGGAGAGUCUGCCCACAAGCUUUGGAACAGAUUCCUCACUAAGAAGAAUUAAAUUGUCGAUUGUCCGGACGCCGAAGCCUUAGCGGCAUUCAAACACAUCAUCCGGGACGAAUGGCUCGCCAGACACCUCGGCGAAGAAAAGCCAAGGACAAUGGCAGCCUUAACAAGCCUUAUGACCCGCUUUUGCGCGGGUGAAGAUAGCUGGCUAGACCGUAAAGGCACCAGCAACCCCAGCACAUCCGACAUAAGGGAUGGCAAUGGGAAGCCAUCUCGUAAUAAACACAAAUGCCAAAACAAGGAAGAGAGCCCGGACAAUACAACGGUCAAUGCCGGAUUCAGGGGCUCUUGGCCUAAUCAGCAAAAUAAGCCAUUUAAAGGCAGUAAAGAGGGACCAUCCGGUCUGAACAGAGUCCUAAACAGACUGUGCCAAAUUCAUGGCACCCCAGAGAAACCUGCGAACCACACGCAUAGAGAAUGUUGGGUCUUCAAGUAGGCCGGCAAAUUAAAAGCCGAACACAAUGGGAGGGAAACUCCAAGUGAAGACGAGGAUGAACCUCGCUAGCCAAACACUGGGGGACAAAAAAAAUUCCCGCCAGAGGUUAAAAUAGUAAACAUGAUCCACGGACUCACACAUCCAAGAUAGGGCACGAACGCGCGCUCAAAGACGCGCACGAUAUUGAGCCCAUCGUACCCACAUCUAACUACUGGACGUCUUAUCCGAUCACCUUCGAUCACACGGACGGCCGAACUAGUAUUCGGCGCGGAUGAUCAGAGGCCUUGGUGCUUGACCCAAUAAUCAACGGAUACCGUCUCACCCAUUUCCUCAUGGACGGCGGCAGUAGUCUCAAUCUAAUAUACGAGGACACUGUUCACAGGAUGAGGAUAAACCUAUCCAGAAUCAGCCAAAGCAACACCACCUUUGAAGGGGUGAUACCAGGCAUUGAAGCCUACGGCAGGGGCUCCGUCGUACUGGAGGUAACAUUUGGCUCCCUGGGCAACUCCAGAAGCGAAGAACUACUCUUCACUAUUGCACCCUUCCAAAGCGGCUAUCAUGCACUUCUUGGAAGAAUGGCCUUCGCCCGCUUCAAUGCAUUGCCGCACUAUGGAUACCCUACACUCAAGAUGCCCGGUCCAUGUGGCAUCAUCACCGUUAGCGGAAUCAUAGAGCGCUCUUCACGCGCAGAGGAACAUACGACGGCCCUGGCGGCCGGACUAUGAGCAGCCUCCAAUAUAAGAAAACAUGACUGGUCAUUAAGACCACAGACACAGUUAGACGAGUCCGGUAGCCCUGAUAAAAUUAAACCAGGGCUCCGUAUAUGUAAUCCCAUAGCGGACACCGGGGGCUAUAAAUAUUUAAUACAGCCCCACACUUGGCUCAACCUUAUUGGCAGGCCAACAUCUUACACUUUUACUAUCCAUCGCAUACUUAAGUUGUACUCUCCUACGAGUUUUCCUUUUUCCACAGACAACGUUCGCGCGAUACCCUUCCAGGAUACGGCACAAUGGAGGCCAAGGCGCAGACGUGCAGCAGGGCCCCGUUCAACAGGUUUCUUUUUAGAUUAAGCCCCUUUGUAAACCUUUUCUAUUGCCUCUUGUUGUUUAACCAUCCCAUGGGUUCCAUACCCAUAGAGGAUACUGUCUUUAUUGGCAUUUCGCCACGACAUAUUACCGCACGUACCUGGAAACACAGGGUUCAUAAUGAAUGGGCAUUCUUGAGCCCAUCUUCUGUUAUAAAGCCCAAAUACCUUCGGGAGUGUUUGGCGGCACGAGUUUGGCCUUAUAUGCAUCAGCUCCAAAUCAUGUCUUCGGUCAAAUGUUGGGUUUGCCCGGCUCCUGGGUUUGCCGCCUUAUGUUCCGUUAUUAUCGGCUAAGGCGGCCAAAGGAGAACUACUGUGAUUGUGCCCUAGUUAUUUCGGAUGAGCACCUCAGUAGAGAAAGCCGAAAAUUGACUGUCAUGAUGCAGCGAGAGACUGUUCAACCACUCAAAGACUCACCGGAAUCUUUAGGAUUCCUCCGCAUUAACGAAGGGCCAUUUCCCAGCCAUGUGCAUACGCGCCCGUAUUCGGAUGCACGCGAAGGUACCAGGGGCUACAUAGUAGCCCCACCUUUAGACUCCCACGGCUAAGCGAAAGUGUUACAGCUAUAUAGUCCGGUUGCCUAGUUCGAUGUGCGAUCACCUCCUUAAUGGACCAAGACGUUGGAUCAAGUGUGAUUAAGCAUAUUUCUCGUGAACACCCCCGCAUUGUAUGCAUGGGGGCUGAAGCCAACGACUGCUAACUUUCGGAUUACUUAUAUACAUAUAUAAAAACGGCCGCACAGGGGACACAAUCAUCUUUUCGGGCAAAAAGUAUAAAUAUAGCCUCAUAAUCAAAAUAAACAUUGUUUUACAAUGAUUCGAUUUAUCACUCGAACAAGACAUUCUUCGAGCACUGCGCCUCUAUUAGCCGGGCACCUUCUGUGACCUGCGCCAAGUAGUGCUCGGCCGGAUAUUAGCCCCCCGCCGGAUCCUGGGUCGCUACAAUGGCGGCCUCCAUAUAUGUCCAAUAGGCUUUAACGCGGGCAAGAGCCAUUCGUGCACCCUCUAUGCACGCCGACCUCCUCAUGGCAUCGAUCCAAGGCACGGCCCCAAGGAAUUGUUGCACCAAACCAAAGUAGCUGUCCGGCUUAGGCCCCUUCGGCCAAAGAUGGUCUAUUAUAGACCGCAUUACAAGCCCGGACAGCAUGUGAAGCUCCGCCACAGUAGCCAUCUUCUCAUUUAACGGCAGUGGGCGAGUGGGAGCAUUGAAUUGCGACCAGAAAAGCUUCUCUACUUCCUUAUCACCUUGAUCCUCGAAGAACUUGGCAGCGUCAGCCGUACUAUUCGCCAAGUCCGCAUAUGCGUCGGCCAGACUCCAGCGUCCAACCUGGGGAGCAUACUUCGGAUCCAAAAACUUCGUCCGCAGUAAGUAGGAGCCCCCAGCCACGAUUUUGUCGACCUAUUUGAGCUCCUCCCGCAUACCCCGAAUCUCGGUCCGCAUCUCCUUGGUGGCAUUAAGUGCCUUGUCCAGCUCGGCGGAGCUAGCCUUAUUCUCCUUUUCAAGGAGUACAUACCGGUCGGGAGCAUUUUUUAACUCCAUAGACAUUCCGUCUAUCUUUUCCUCGCUUCGGCGAUGAGCAGCCUGUUCGGCUCUCAAUUCUUCGGCCGCCUUUAGGGUAGCCGCAUUGCUAGCCCGAGCUUGUUCCCUGGCUUGAGCAAGUUCCGCCCUCAGGGCUUCCACGGUAGCAGCACCAUCUGCAAUACAAACACAUUGCAUUAAUAUCAUGCCCCUCCCGCAUUUUCCUAUACAAACUUAACAAGGGAAGCAGAGCACAUACCCUGUGACUCUUCCAGCCUCUUGUUCAACAGCGUGAUAUCGGCAUUGAUAGAUCUGAUCUGCCUCCUUAGUUCGGCAACUUCAACAGACUGGUCGGCUACCGGAUCCAUAGAUACCUGCGCACAUGUACAGCGCAGCCAUUACUAUAUGAUCCCCUGUUUGCCGCCUAUGGCGGGCAACCAGAGUCUCAGGGGCUACUAUCCAUAUGGAGCACACCUAGCGCGUGCCUCACAACCAAAAAAUAGUGCAUUUUUCACUACAUACCUCAAAACCUUUGAGCGGGCUCGUAAAUGCCUCAUUCAAACCGCUUGUAGCGGAUGAAAUCUUUGUGAGCACCAUGUUCAUUAAUGAGCGGUGCUCCUCCGAGAACGCAGCUCGCUCCAGAAGACCUGUCGGUACGUCCGGCCGGACAUCGAGCUGUGCCGGACCCUUUUCAUCGCCCCCCGUGGGAGCCAAAUGCUCCGGGCUUAGGGCAUCUGACAUAUUAGCUUCCGGCUUCGGCUGAUCCGGACUCCUCCGUGACGACACCUCAGUGUUGCCCGCUUCAUGAGGCGGAGAGGUGGGUGGGGUCUCACUCUCCAUCAUCUCCGGAGGAAGAUCCCCUGAAGAAGUACUCUUUUGAGAAGAGCUGCUAGCCGGACUGCAAAAGACGAAGUCCUGGUUAUGGAUCUCGGAGAAACACCAUACCUUCGAAUUAACGAUUAACUUACAGCUCGGUGGAGGGCUGGCCCAUUGGUGGGCACGACGCGGUGAGGGUGCCCGUCGGGGCAGGGCCCCCUGGUAAUACCUUCUUCCCUUGAUUGGGCAUCUCCGUCUCUAAGUCUUCGGAGGCGGCCCUUUUCCUCCCGUGCGGGGAGGAGGCUUUAGCCUCCCCUUCCCGACUAUCCUCCUCAGGGGAGGUAACGACUCCCCCGGUUUGGAUGCGUAGUGUGUGAAGUUCGGCUUCACUGCCCUUUCCUUCGCCUUUCCCUGAGGGGAUUUUGUUGAGCACCCGGCCAAGCAUCUUGGCAACAGUUGGACCAGGCGAGCCUUCAAGAAGUGCAGCCGGACACCUGAUUCUCUCCGCCUUGUUGAGCCAUUCCUGGCCACGAAGGGUUUUUCAGAAUAAUGGUUAUGACAAAUAUAAACGAAGUGUCUGGCUUUAAGGUUACUUACUUGGGCAUCUAGGCGAUUGCAGCUUAGGCCCGCAUCCUCGGUGGUGUCUAGGCACUUUACUUGUGGUCCGAAGAAUAAUUUACACAUCCCUUCGAGCUUCAGGCCGAAGAAGUGCUUAAUAGUCCACGGACCCUCCGGAUUGAACUCCCACAUCCGGAGAGGCCGACGUUUGCACGGCAACAUCCGUCGGAUUAGCAACACUUGAAUUACGCUGACAAGAUUUAUGUCCCUCUCAAGAAGCUCCCGGAUGCGAUUCUGCAGUACUGGUACAUCGCCAGCGGGCCCCCAGUUCCGUCCAACGUUGGUCCGAGACACCAACUGUGACGGGUGAUGACCCACAAGUGUAGGGGAUCUAUCGUAGUUCUUUCGAUAAGUAAGAGUGUCAAACCCAACGGGGAGCAGAAGGAAAUGAUAAGCGGUUUUCAGUAAGGUUUUCUCUGGAAGCACUGAAAUAGUAGGUGAUAGAUAGAUUUGUGAUAAGAUAAAUAGUAACGAGCAAAAGUAAAUAAAGUAAAUAAAGUGCAGAAAGGUGCCCCAAUCCUUUAUGUAGCAAAGGAUAAGCCUGGACAAAUUCUAAUAAUGAGGAAGGAUCUCCCGAGGACACACUGGGAAUUAUCGUCAAGCUAGUUUUCAUCACGCUCAUAUGAUUCGCGUUCGGUACUUUGAUAAUUUGGUAUGUGGGUGGACCGGCACUUGGGUACUGCCCUAACUUGGACAAGCAUCCCACUUACGAUUAACCCCUAUUGCAAGCAUCCGCAACUACAAAAAGGAGUAUUAAGGUAAACCUAACCACAACAUUAAACAUAUGGGUCCAUAUCAACCCCUAACGAAGCAACGCAUAAACUAGGGUUUAAGCUUCUGUCACUCUAGCAACCCAUCAUCUACUUAUUACUUCCCUAUGCCUUCCUCUAGGCCCAAAUAAUGUUGAAGUGUCAUGUAGUCGACGUUCACAUAACACCACUAGAGGAGAGACAACAUACAUCUCAUCAAAAUAUCGAACGAAUACCAAAUUCACAUGACUACUAAUAGCAAGACUUCACCCAUGUCCUCGGGAACAAACGUAACUACUCACAAAGCAUAUUCAUGUUCAUAAUCAGGGGUGUAAUAAUAUGCAUUAAGGAUCUGAACAUAUGAUCUUCCACCAAGUAAACCAAUAAGUAUCAACUACAAGGAGUAAUCAACACUACUAGCAACCCACAGGUACCAAUUUGUGGUUUUGGAUACAAGAUUGGAUACAAGAGGUGAACUAGGUUUUGAGAGGAGAUGGUGCUGGUGAAGAUGUUGAUGGAGAUUGACCCCCUCCCGAUGAGAGGAUCGUUGGUGAUGACGUUGGUGAUGAUUUCCCCCUCCCGGAGGGAAGUUUCCCCGGCAGAACAGCUCCGCCAGAGCUCUAGACUGAUUCCGCCAAGGUUCCGCCUCGUGGCGGCGGAGUUUCGUCUUGUAAGCUUGUCCAUGAAUUUUUCCAGGACAAAACCCUUCAUAUAGCAGAAGAUGGACGUCGGCGGCCCACCAGGGGGCCCAGGAGAUAGGGGCGCGCCACCUGUCUCCCGGACAGGGUGUGGGACCCCUGGCCUAUUUCUUUUGCUCCUAAUUCCUUAAUAAAUCCAAAAAGUUGUUUCGUGGAGUCUCAAGUCUUUUGGAGUUGUGCAUAAUAGGUUUCCAACGUUUGCUCCUUUUCUAGCCAGAAUUCCAGCUGCCGGCAUUCCCCCUCUUCACGGUAAACCUUGUAAAAUAAGAGAGAAUAGCCAUAAGUAUUGAGAUAUAAUGUGUAAUAACAGCCCAUAAUGCAAUAAAUAUUUAUAUAAAAGCAUGAUGCAAAAUGGACGUAUCAACUCCCCCAAGCUUAGACCUCGCUUGUCCUCAAGCGAAACCGAAAUCAAAAAAUAUGUCCACAUAUUUAGAGAUUGAGGUGUCGAUAAAAAUAAAAAUACGGACAUGAGGGCAUCAUGAUCAUUCUAAUAACAGCAACAUAUAUGGAUUUUGUCAUAUGAUUUCCUAUGUUCAAGUGAUAAGUAAUUCACAAUGUCAAGUAUGGUUCAAAAACUUCGUUGGGAACUAACAAACUAUAAUCUCAGUCAUUGAAGCAAUUGCAAUUUAUUGUAACAUCAGAAAGAGUCACUAAUAGAGCUUCUCAGCAAGCUCACAUACUCAACUAUCUCGUAGUCUCCCAUAAUUGUUAACACUCACGCAAUACUUGUGGUUAUAGAGUUUCAGCCGAACACUGAGAAAGAUAGGGGCUUAUUGUGUUGCCUCCCAACGUAUUCACCUUUAGGUGAUGUCAACAAUAAUAGCCGAUGCCAACUUACAUCCAAUCGGAUAUAUAUAUCAUGAUCUUUCAAACACGAAGAGCUUGCCAAAGGAUAAAAUGAAAAAGGGAAAGGUGAGGAUCACCUUGACUCAAGUAUUAAAGUAAAACAUAAAGUAAAAGAUAGGCCCUUCGCAGAGGGAAGCAGAGGUUGUCAUGCGCUUUCAGGGUUGGAUACACAAAAUCUUAGUGCAAAAGAACAUCACUUUAUAUUGCCCCUUGUGUGUGGACCUUUAUUAUGCAAUCUGUCGCUUUUAUUACUUCCACAACAAGUUCGUACAAAGCUUAUUUUCUCUGCACUAAUAAGUCAUGCAUAUUUAGAGAGCAAUUUUUAUUGCUUGCACCGAUGACAACUUACUUGAAGGAUCUUACUCAAUCCAUAGGUAGGUAUGGUGGACUCUCAUGACAAAACUGGGUUUAAGGAUAUUUGGAAGCACAAGUAGUAUCUCUACUUGGUGCAAGGAGUCUUGGCUAGCAUGAGGGGGAAAGGCAAGCUCAACAUGUUUAGAAGGUCACUGACAAUAUACUUUAACUGAGAUGUCGGAAAACAUAAACCAUUACGUUGUCUUCCUUGUCCAACAUCAACUCUUUUAGCAUGUCAUACUUAAUGAGUGCUUCACAAUCAUAAAAGAUGUCCAAGAUAAUAUAUCUAUAUGUGAACCCCUCUUUCCUUAUCACUUCCUAUUAAUUACAAUGAUGACCAAAGCUACGUUCAUCAACUCUCAACAUUUUUAUGCCUCAUACUUUCUAUGUGUGAAGUUAUCACUAUCCAUAAGAUCAAUAUGAACUCUUUUAUUCUUUCUACUUUCUCAAGAUCAUAGCAACAUAGCAAAGCCCUUGACUCAACACUAAUCUUUAUUAUAGAUAGCACACGGAAUCUCUUACAAAAAGAGAUCACUACGUAAAACUCAAAACUACUUGAUAUCAAAACUUCGAACUAAUAGAUCAAGAUACUACUAAAAGGAUCGUACUAAAUAAAGCGGUAAAGAUAGGAGUGUGAUGGUGAUACGAUACUGGGGCACCUCCCCCAAGCUUGGCAGUUGCCAAGGGGAGUGCCCAUACCCAUGUGAUUAUUUCUUUGGAGGUGAUGGAGGUGGUGAUGAUAUCGGUGGAUAAUCGCACAUCAAGCGUAAAAGCUCCUCCAACUUGCGGAUGAUGCCCUUGAGCCCAGCAAUAUGAUCCUUCAACAAAAUAUUCUCAUGUGUGAGAUACUUGUUUUGUAUGCGGGCUAACUCAAUCAUCUUGAAAGCUUCAAUCUCUGUUGGAGUGAAAAGGUUAGGUAAAGGGUGAGGGAUGUCUUCUUCUUUCACCACCGAAGCUUGAACCUCCAUAGCCUUCUUGAUCCCUUCACCCUUGUUACUCUCUUCCGGUUCCUCUCUUUUCAACUCUAUGUUCAAUAGCCAGGCAUCCUUGUCUUCGUUGUUGUAGUAGGGAGAAGUCAUGGUGCUCUAAAUCUGCAACAGGAACAGCUUGAAACGAAAACAGAGGAUAUUUGCGUGAUACGGUGGUCAAAACCUUCGGGAGUAUAUAUAAUGAAAUUUUACCGACCAAAAUACGUAACUUACAAGAAAACGGGGUCCGGGAGGCACACGAGGUGCCCACGAGACAGGGGGCGCGCCCUACAGGGGGGGGCUCCUCUCUCGUGAGAGCCUCGUGUCCCUUUCGGACUACUUCUUUCUUCCUAAAAUCCUUAAAUAAUCCAAAACUGAUGAAAAUUGCCAUUAGAGUUGUUUUGGAGUCGGUUUACUUACUGUACCAUGUAACUAUGCCUUUUCGGAGUCUGGAACAUUCUGGAAAGUGUCUUUUAUGUAUUCCUUAGGGGUUAUGGUUUCAAUAAUAUUGGUUUCAACAUUGAUAGGAUUACCUGAAAUAUAAUGUUUAAUUCUUUGACCGUUUACCACCCUCGGCUUUGUGCCUUCAAAGUUGUUGAUUGUUAUAGCACCACAACGAUAGACCUCCUCGGUAACGUAGGGACCUUCCCAUUUUGAGAGAAGUUUUCCUGCAAAAAAUCUUAAACGAGAGUUGAACAAUAACACAUAAUCUCCUAGGUUAAACUCAUGCUUUUGUAUCCUCUUAUCAUGCCAGCGUUUGACUUUUUCUUUGAAAAGCUUAGCAUUCUCAUAUGCUUGGGUUCUCCAUUCAUCAAGUGAGCUAAUAUCAAAUAACCUUUUCUCACCGGCAAGUUUGAAGUCAUAAUUAAGCUCUUUAAUAGCCCAAUAUGCUUUGUGUUCAAGUUCAAGAGGUAAAUGACAUGCUUUAGCAUAAACUAUUUUAUAUGGAGACAUACCCAUAGGAUUUUUGUAUGCAGUUCUAUAGGCCCAUAAUGCAUCAUCAAGUUUUUUGGACCAAUUCUUUCUAGAUCUAUUCACAGUCUUUUGCAAAAUUAAUUUGAGCUCUUUAUUGCUCAACUCUACUUGACCACUAGACUGCGGGUGAUAAGGAGAUGUGAUUCUAUGAUUGACAUCAUACUUAGCAAGCAUCUUACAGAAAGCACCAUGAAUAAAGUGUGAACCACCAUCAGCCAUAAGAUAUCUAGGGACUCCAAACCUCGGAAAAAUAACUUCUUUAAGCAUUUUAAUAUAAGUGUUAUGAUCACCACUACUAGUUGGAAUAGAUUCUACCCACUUAGUAACGUAAUCAACAGCAACUAAAAUAUGUGUAUAACCAUUGGAGGAAGGAAAAGGUCCCAUAUAAUCAAAGCCCCAAACAUCAAACGGUUCAAUAACAAGAGAAUAAUUCAUAGGCAUUUCUUGACAUCUACUGAUGUUACCUAUUCUUUGACAUUCAUCACAAGAUACGACAAACUUACGAGCAUCUUUGAAAAGAGUAGGCCAAUAAAAACCAGAUUGUAGUACCUUGUGUGCAGUUCUAUCUCCAGCGUGGUGUCCUCCAUAGGAUUUAGAGUGACACUUGCGUAGGAUUUGCUCCUAUUCAUGCUCAGGCACACAACGUCUAAUAAUACCAUCUACUCCUUUAUAAAGGUGUGGAUCAUCCCAGAAGUAAUGUCUUAAAUCAUAAAAGAACUUUUUCUUUUGCUGGUAUGUGAAACUAGGCGGUAUGUAUUUAGAAACAAUGUAAUUAGCAUAGUCGUCAUACCAAGGAGCAGUACGAUAAGCAUUGACAACCGCUAAUUGUCCAUCAGGAAAACUAUCAUUAAUAGGCAGUGGGUCAUCAAGAACAUUCUCUAGCCUAGACAAGUUGUCUGCAACAGGGUUCUCAGCUCCCUUUCUAUCAAUAAUAUGCAAGUCAAAUUCUUGGAGCAAGAGAACCCAUCUAAUGAGUCUAGGCUUAGCAUCUUUCUUUUCCAUAAGAUAUUUAAUACAAGCAUGAUCAGUGUGAAUAGUAACUUUGGAAUCAACAAUGUAAGGUCUAAACUUAUCACAUGCAAACACAACUGCUAAGAAUUCUUUUUCAGUGGUAGCAUAAUUUCUCUGGGCAGUAUCAAGAGUCUUACUAGCAUAAUGGAUAACAUUCAAUUUCUUAUCGACUCUAUGCCCUAAAACAGCACCUACAGCAUAAUCACUAGCAUCACACAUAAUUUCAAAAGGUAAAUUCCAAUCAGGUGGUUGAACAAUAGGUGCUAUGAUCAAAGCUUUCUUAAGUGUUUCAAAUGCUUCUACACAAUCAUCAUCAAAGACAAAACUAAUAUCUUUUUGCAAUAAAUUAGUCAGAGGCCUAGAGAUUUUAGAGAAGUCCUUAAUGAACCUCCUAUAAAAACCGGCAUGACCAAGGAAACUUCUUAUACCUUUUAUGUCCUUGGGACAUGGCAUCUUCUCAAUAGCAUCAACUUUGGCUUUAUCAACUUCAAUACCCCUCUCGGAGAUCUUGUGCCCCAAGACAAUGCCUUCAUUAACCAUAAAGUGACACUUUUCCCAAUUCAGGAAGAGACUAGUGUCUUCACAUCUCUGCAAAACUCGAUCAAGGUUGCUCAAACAAUCAUCAAAAGAGUAUCCAUAGAUGGAGAAGUCAUCCAUGAAUACCUCACAAAUAUUUUCACAAAAAUCAGAAAAUAUAGCCAUCAUGCAUCUUUGAAAGGUAGCAGGUGCAUUACAUAAACCAAAAGGCAUACGUCUAUAAGCAAAAGUACCAAAAGGGCAAGUAAAAGUAGUUUUAGAUUGAUCCCCCGCUGAUACAGGUAUCUGAGAGAAGCCAGAAUAACCAUCUAGAAAGAAAAAAUGUGUGUGUUUGGAUAACCUUUCUAGCAUUUGAUCAAUGAAAGGUAAAGGGUAAUGAUCUUUCUUAGUAGCUUUAUUUAACUUGCGGAAAUCAAUUACCAUCCUAUAGCUUGUAAUAAUUCUUUGCGGGGUCAAUUCAUCUUUAUCAUUAGGGACAAUGGUAAUACCUCCCUUUUUAGGGACACAAUGGACAGGGCUUACCCAUUCACUAUCAGCAACGGGAUAAAUAAUACAUGCCUCAAGGAGUUUUAGUAUCUCCUUUCUCACCACUUCCUUCAUUUUGGGAUUUAAUCGUCUUUGAGGAUCUCUAACAGGUUUGGCAUCUUUCUCCACUGAAAUUUUGUGUUGACAUAAUGUGGGACUAAUGCCCUUGAGAUCAUCCAGGGUAUAUCCAAUAGCAGCUCGGUGCUUCUUCAGAGUUUUCAAUAAUCUUUCUUCUUCUUUCCCUGAAAGGUUAGCACUAAUAAUAACAGGAUAUAUUUCUUUUUCAUCAAGAUAAGCAUACUUAAGAUUAUUAGGUAAUGGUUUGAGUUCAAACACGGGAUCACCCUUGGGUGGAGGGGGAUCCCCAAGAAUUUCAACAGGAAGAUUAUGUUUUAGCAUAGGUUCUUGUUUGCGUGGGGGCUGAAGCCUACGACUGCUAACUUUCGGAUUACUUAUAUACAUAUAUAAAAACGGCCGCACAGGGGACACAAUCCUCUUUUCAGGCAAAAAGUAUAAAUAUAGCCUCAUAAUCAAAAUAAACAUUGUUUUACAAUGAUUCGAUUUAUCACUUGAACAAGACAUUCUUCGAGCACUGCGCCUCUAUUAGCCGGGCACCUUCUGUGACCUACGCCAAGUAGUGCUCGGCCGGAUAUUGGCCCCCCGCCGGAUCCUGGGUCGCUACAAUGGCGGCCUCCAUAUCUGUCCAAUAGGCUUUAACGCGGGCAAGAGCCAUUCGUGUACCCUCUAUGCACGCCGACCUCCUCAUGGCAUCGAUCCGAGGCACAGCCCCAAGGAAUUGUUGCACCAAACCAAAGUAGUUGUCCGGCUUAGGCCCCUUCGGCCAAAGAUGGUCUAUUACAGACCGCAUUGCAAGCCCGGGCAGCAUGUGAAGCUCCGCCACAGUAGCCACCUUCUCAUUUAACGGCAGCGGGCGAGUGGGAGCAUUGAAUUGCGAUCAGAAAAGCUUCUCUACUUCCUUAUCACCUUGAUCCUCGAAGAACUUGGCAGCGUCAGCCGUACUAUUCGCCAAGUCCUUAUAUGCGUCGGCCAGACUCCAGCGUCCAUCCAGGGGAGCAUACUUCGGAUCCAAAAACUUCGUCCGUAGUAAGUAGGAGCCCCCAGCCACGAUUUUGUUGGCCUGUUCGAGCUCCUCCCGCAUACCCCGGAUCUCGGUCCGCAUCUCCUUGGUGGCAUUAAGUGCCUUGUCCAGCUCGGCCGAGCUAGCCUUAUUCUCCUCUUCAAGGAGUACAUACCGGUCGGCGGCAUUUUUUAACUCCACAGCCAUUUUGGCUAUCUUUUCCUCGCUUCGGCGAUGAGCAGCCUAUUCGGCUCUCAAUUCUUCGGCCGCCUUUAGGGCAACCGCAUUGCUAGCCCGAGCUUGUUCCCUGGCUUGAGCAAGUUCCGCCCUCAGGGCUUCCACGGCAGCAACACCAUCUGCAGUACAAACACAUUGCAUUAAUAUCAUGCCCCUCCCACAUUUUCCUAUACAAACAUAACAAGGGAAGCAGAGCACAUACCCUGUCACUCUUCCAGCCUCUUGUUCACCAGCGUGAUAUCGGCAUUGCUAGAUCCGAUCUGCCACCUUAAUUCGGCAACUUCAAUAGACUGAUCGGCUGCCGGAUCCUUAGAUACCUGCGCACAUGUACAGCGCAGCCAUUACUAUAUGAUCCCCCGUUUGCCGCCUAUGGCGGGCAACCAGUCUCAGGGGAUACUAUCCAUAUGGAGCACACCUAGCGCGUGCCUCACAACCAAAAAAUAGUGCAUUUUUCACUACAUACCUCAAAGCCUUUGAGAAGGCUCGUAAAUGCCUCAUUCGAACCACUUGUAGCAGAUGAAAUCUUCGUGAGCACCAUGUUCAUUAAUGAGCGGCGCUCCUUCGAGAGUACAGCUUGCUCCUGAAGACUUGUCAGUACGUCCGGCCGGACAUCGAACUGUGUCGGACCAUUUUCAUCGCCCCCCGUGGGAGCCAAACGCUCUGGGCUCAGGGCGACUGACAUAUUAGCUUCCGGCGUCGGCAGAUCCAGACUCCUCCGUGACGACACCUCAGUGUCGCCCGCUUCAUGAGGCGGAGAGGUGGGUGGGGUCUCACUCUCCAUCAUCUCCGGAGGAAGAUCCCCCGAAGACGAACUCUGUUGAGAAGAGCUGCUAGCCGGACUACAAAAGACGAAGUCCUGGUUAUGGAUCUCGGAGAAACACCAUACCUUCGAAUUAACGAUUAACUUACAGCUCGGUGGAGGGCUGGCCCGUUGGUGGGCACGACGCGGUGAGGGUGACCGUCGCGGUAGGGCCCCCUGGUAAUACCUUCUUCCCUUGAUUCGCCAUCUCCGUCUCUAAGUCUUCGGAGGCGGCCCUUUUCCUCCCGCGCGGGAAGGAGGCUUUAGCCUCCCCUUCCCGACUAUCCUCCUCUGGGGAGGUAAUGACUCCCCCGGUUUGGAUGCGUAGUGUGUGAAGUUCGGCUUCACUGCCCUUUUCUUCGCCUUUCCCUGAGGGGAUAUUGCUGAGCACCCGGCCAAGCAUCUUGGCAACGGUUGGACCAGGCGAGCCUUCAGGAAGUGGCGCCAGACACCUGAUUCUCUCCACCUUGUUGAGCCAUUCCUGGCCACGGAGGGUUUUCAGAAUAAUGGUUCGACAAAUAUAAAUGAAGUAUCCGGCUUUAAGGUUACUUACUUGGGCAUCUAGGUGAUUGCAGCUUAGGCCCGCACCCUCGGUGGUGUCCGGGCACUUUACUUGUGGUCCGAAGAAUAAUUUACACAUCCCUUCGAGCUUCAGGCCGAAGAAGUGCUUAAUAGUCUGCGGACCCUCCGGAUUGAACUCCCACAUCCGGAGAGGCCGACGUUUGCAUGGCAACAUCCGUCGGAUUAGCAUCACUUGAAUUACGCUGACAAGAUUUAUGUCCCUCUCAAGAAGCUCCCGGAUGCGAUUCUGCAGUACUGGUACAUCGCCAGCGGGCCCCCAGUUCCGUCCAAUGUCGGUCCAAGACGCCAACUGUGACGGGUGAUGACCCACAAGUGUAGGGGAUCUAUCGUAGUCCUUUCGAUAAGUAAGAGUGUCGAACCCAACGAGGAGCAGAAGGAAAUGAUAAGCAGUUUUCAGUAAGGUUUUCUCUGCAAGCACUGAAAUAGUAGGUGAUAGAUAGAUUUGUGAUAAGAUCAAUAGUAACGAGCAAAAGUAAAUAAAGUGCAGCAAGGUGGCCCAAUCCUUUAUGUAGCAAAGGAUAAGCCUGGACAAAUUCUAAUAAUGAGGAAGGAGCUCCCGAGGACACAUUGGGAAUUACCGUCAAGCUAGUUUUCAUCAUGCUCAUAUGAUUCGCGUUCGGUACUUUGAUAAUUUGAUAUGUGGGUGGACCGGCACUUGGGUACUACCCUAACUUGGAAAAGCAUCCCACUUAUGAUUAACCCCUAUUUCAAGCAUCCGCAACUACAAAAAGGAGUAUUAAGGUAAACCUAACCACAACAUUAAACAUAUGGGUCCAUAUCAACCCCUAACGAAGCAACGCAUAAACUAUGGUUUAAGCUUAUGUCACUCUAGCAACCCAUCAUCUACUUAUUACUUCCCUAUGCCUUCCUCUAGGCCCAAAUAAUGGUGAAGUGUCAUGUAGUCGACAUUCACAUAACACCACUAGAGGAGAGACAGCAUACAUCUCAUCAAAAUAUCAAACGAAUACCAAAUUCACAUGACUACUGAUAGCAAGACUCCACCCAUGUCCUCAGGAACAAAAGUAACUACUCACAAAGCAUAUUCAUGUUCAUAAUCAGAGGUGUAAUAAUAUGCAUUAAGGAUCUGAACAUAUGAUCUUCCACCAAGUAAACCAAUAAGUAUCAACUACAAGGAGUAAUCAACACUACUAGCAACCCACAGGUACCAAUUUGUGGUUUUGGAUACAAGAUUGGAUACAAGAGAUGAACUAGGGUUUGAGAGGAGAUGUUGCAGGUGAAGAUGUUGAUGGAGAUUGACACCCUCCCGAUGAGAGGAUCGUUGGUGAUGAUUUCCAUCUCCCGGAGGGAAGUUUGGUAGGUAGGUACCAAAGUAAUCCCGGCAAGGAACACUGGACAGCGGUCAAGAAUAUCCUAAAGUACCUGAAAAGGACAAAGGACAUGUUUCUCAUUUAUGGAGGUGACGAAGAGCUCGUCGUAAAGGGUUACGUCGAUGCUAGCUUCGACACAGAUCUGGAUGACUCUAAGUCACAAACCGGAUACGUGUAUAUGUUGAAUCGUGCAGCAGUAAGCUGGUGCAGUUACAAGCACAGCGUCGUGGUGGGAUCUACAUGUGAAGCGGAGUACAUGGCAGCCUCGGAGGCAGCACAUGAAGCAAUAUGGAUGAAGGAGUUCAUCACCGACCUAGGAAUCAUACCCAUUGCAUCGGGUCCGAUCACUCUCUUCUGUGAGAACACUUGAGCUAUUGCCCUUGCCAAGGAGCCCAGGUUUCACAAGAAGAACAGGCACAUCAAGCGUCAUUUCAACUCCAUCCGUGAAAAUGUUCAAGAUGGAGACAUAGAUAUUUGCAAAGUACAUAUGGAUCUGAAUGUCGCAGAUCCGUUGACUAAACCUCUUCCGCGAGCAAAACAUGAUCAACACCAGAACUCUAUGGGUGUUCGAUUCAUCACAAUGUAACUAGAUUAUUGACUCAAGUGCAAGUGGGAGACUGUUGGAAAUAUGCCCUAGAGGCAAUAAUAAAAGGAUUAUUAUUAUAUUUCCUUGUUUAUGAUAAUUGUCUUUUAUUCACGCUAUAAUUGUAUUAUCCGGAAAUCGUAAUACACGUGUGAAUACGUAGACCACAACAUGUCCCUAGUGAGCCUCUAGUUGACUAGCUCAUUGAUCAACAGAUAGUCAUGGUUUCCUGACUAUGGACAUUGGAUGUCGGUGAUAACGGGAUCACAUCAUUAGGAGAAUGAUGUGAUGGACAAGACCCAAUCCUAAGCAUAGCACAAAGAUCGUGUAGUUCGUUUGCUAGAGCUUUUCCAAUGUCAAGUAUCUUUUCCUUAGACCAUGAGAUCGUGUAACUCCCGGAUACCGUAGGAGUGCUUUGGGUGUACCAAACGUCACAACGUAACUGGGUGACUAUAAAGGUGCACUACAGGUAUCUCCGAAAGUGUCUGUUGGGUUGACACGGAUCAAGACUGGGAUUUGUCACUCCGUAUGAUGGAGAGGUAUCUCUGGGCCCACUCAGUAAUGCAUCAUCAUAAUGAGCUCAAAGUGACCAAGUUUCUGGUCACGGAUCAUGCAUUACGGUACGAGUAAAGUGACUUGCCGGUAACGAUAUUGAACGAGGUAUUGGGAUACCGACGAUCGAAUCUCGGGCGAGUAACAUACCGAUUGACAAAGGGAAUUGUAUACGGGGUUGCUUAAAUCCUCGACAUCGUGAUUCAUCCGAUGAGAUCAUCGAGGAGUAUGUGGGAGCCAACAUGGGUAUCCAGAUCCCGCUAUUGGUUAUUGACCGGAGAGCCGUCUCGGUCAUGUCUGCAUGUCUCCCGAACCCGUAGGGUCUACACACUUAAGGUUAGGUGACGCUAGGGUUGUAUGAAUAUGAGUAUGCAGCAAACUUAAAGUUGUUCGGAGUCCCGGAUGAGAUCCCGUACGUCACUAGGAGUUCUGGAAUGGUCCGGAGGUAAAGAAUUAUAUAUAGGAAGUGCAGUUUCGGCCGUCGGGAAAGUUUCGGGGGUCACCGGUAUUGUACCGGGACCACCGGAAGGGUCCCGGGGGUCCAUCGGGUGGGGCCACCUAUCCCGGAGGGCCCCAUGGGCUUAAGUGGGAGGGGAACCAGCCCCUAGUGGGCUGGUGCGCCCCCCCCCCCCCCGGGCCCCCCUCUGCGCCUAGGGUUGGGAACCCUAGGGGAAGGGGGCGCCUCCACUUGCCUUGGGGGGCAUCCACCCCCCUUGGCCGCCGCCCCCCCUAGAGAUCCCAUCUCUAGGGCCGGCGCCCCCCCUGGGGUCCCUAUAUAAAGAGGGGGGUGGGAGGGCAGCCACACCCAACACCCUGGCGCCUCCCUCCCCUCCCUGCUACACCUCCUCCUCUCGCAGAAGCUCGGCGAAGCUCUGCCGGAACCCUGCUGUAUCCACCACCACGCCGUCGUGCUGCUGGAUCUUCAUCAACCUCUCCUUCCCCUCUUGCUGGAUCAAGAAGGAGGAGACGUCAGGCUGACCGUACGUGUGUUGAACGCGUAGGUGCCGUCCGUUUGGCGCUAGGAUCUCCGGUGAUUUGGAUCACGACGAGAACGACUCCCACAACCCCGUUCUCUUGAACGCUUCCGCACACGAUCUACAAGGGUAUGUAGAUGCAUCUCUCUCUAUCGUUGCUAUAUGAACUCAUAGAUUGAUCUUGGUGAACAUAGAAAUUUUUUUAUUUUAUGCAACGUUCCCCAACAGUGGUAUCAGAGCUAGGUCUAUGCGUAGUUCUCUAUUGUACGAGUAGAAAUCAAAUCUGUUGUGGGCGUAGAUCUUGUCAACUUGCUUGCCACUACUAGUCUUAUCUUGCUUCAGCGGUAUUGUGGGAUGAAGCGGCCCGGACCGACCUUACGCGUACGCUUACGUGAGACAGGUUCCACCGACUGACGUGCACUAGUUCCAUAAGGUGGCUAGCGGGUGUCUGUCUCUCCUACUUUAGUUGGAGCGGAUUCGAUGAAAAGGGUCCUUAUGAAGGGUAAAUAGAAGUUGACAAAAUCACGUUGUGGUUAUUCGUAGGUAAGAAAAUGUUCUUGCUAGAACCCAAUUCCAGCCACGUAAAAGAUGCAACAACAAUUAGAGGACGUCUAACUUGUUUUUGCAGCAAUUGCUAUGUGAUGUGAUAUGGCCAAAAGUUGUGAUGAAUGAUGAAUGAUAUAUUGUGAUGUAUGAGGUCAUGUUCUUGUAAUAGGAAUCACGACUUGCAUGUCGAUGAGUAUGACAACCGGCAGGAUCCAUAGGAGUUGUCUUAACUAUUGCAUGACCUGCGUGUCAAUGAUUUAACGCCAUGUAAUUACUUUACUUUAUUGCUAAACCGUUAGCCAUAGUAGUAGAAGUAAUAGUUGGCGAGCAACUUCAUGGAGACACGAUGAUGGAGAUCAUGAUGAUGGAGAUCAUGGUGUCAUGCCGGUGACGAAGAUGAUCAUGGAGCCCCGAAGAGGGAGAUCAAAGGAGCUAUAUGAUAUUGGCCAUAUCAUGUCACUACUAUAUAUAAUUGCAUGUGAUGUUUAUUAUGUUUAUGCAUCUUGUUUACUUAGAACGGCGGUAGUAAAUAAGAUGAUCCCUCAUAAUAAUUUCAAGAAGGUGUUCCCCCUAACUGUGCACCGUUGCUAAAGUUCGUCGUUUCGAAGCACCACGUGAUGAUCGGGUGUGAUAGAUUCCUACGUUCACAUACAACGGUUGUAAGACAGUUUUACACAUGCAUAAACACUUAGGGUUAACUUGACGAGCCUAGCAUGUACAGACAUGGCCUCGGAACACAGAGACCAAAAGGUCGAACAUGAGUCGUAUGAAAGAUACGAUCAACAUGGAGACGUUCACCGAUGAUGACUAGUCCGUCUCACGUGAUGAUCGGACACGGCCUAGUCGAUUCGGAUCAUCUAACACUUAGAUGAUUAGAGGGAUGUCAAAUCUGAGUGGGAGUUCAUUAAAUAAUUUGAUUAGAUGAACUUAAUUAUCAUGAACUUAGUCUAAAAUCUUUUGCAAAAUAUGUCUUGUAGAUCAAAUGGCCAACGCUCAUGUCAACAUGAACUUCAACGCGUUCCUAGAGAAAACCAAGCUGAAAGAUGAUGGUAGCAACUAUUCGGACUGGGUCCGGAACCUGAGGAUCAUCCUCAUAGCUGCCAAGAAAGCAUAUGUCCUAGAAGGACCGCUAGGUGAAGCACCCAUCCCAGAGAACCAAGACGUUAUGAACGCUUAGCAGUCACGUGCUGAUGAUUACUCCCUCGUUCAGUGCGGCAUGCUUUACAGCUUAGAACCAGGGCUCCAAAAGCGUUUUGAGCAACACGGAGCAUAUGAGAUGUUCGAGGAGCUGAAAAUGGUUUUCCAAGCUCAUGCCCGGGUCAAGAGAUAUGAGGUCUCCGAAAAGUUCUAUAGUUGUAAGAUGGAGGAAAACAGUUCUGUCAGUGAGCACAUACUCAAAAUGUCUGGGUUGCACAACCGCCUGUCCCAGCUGGACAUUAACCUCUCGGAUGAGGCGGUCAUUGACAGAAUCCUUCAGUCGCUCCCACCGAGCUACAAGAGCUUUGUCAUGAACUACAAUAUGCAGGGGGUGGUCAAAACUAUUCCUGAAGUAUUUUCAAUGCUGAAGUCAGCAGAGGUAGAAAUCAAGAAAGAACAUCAAGUGUUGAUGGUCAAUAAAACCACCAAGUUCAAGAAGGGCAAGGGUAAGAAGAACUUCAAGAAGGACGGCAAAGAUGUUGCCGCGCUCGGUAAGCCAGUUGCCGGGAAGAAGUCAAAGAAUGGACCCAAGCCUGAGACUGAGUGCUUUUAUUGCAAAGGGAAGGGUCACUGGAAGCGGAACUUCCCCAAAUACUUAGCGGACAAGAAGGCCGGCAACACUAAAGGUAUAUUUGAUAUACAUGUAAUUGAUGUGUACCUUACCAGUACUCGUAGUAACUCCUGGGUAUUUGAUACCGGUGCCGUUGCUCACAUUUGUAACUCACAGUAGGAGCUGCGGAAUAAGCGGAGACUGGCGAAGGACGAGGUGACGAUGCGCAUCGGGAAUGGUUCCAAGGUCGAUGUGAUCAUCGUCGGCACGCUACCUCUACAUUUACCUACGGGAUUAGUCUUAAACCUCAAUAAUUAUUAUUUAGUGCCAAGUUUGAGCAUGAACAUUGUAUCUGGAUCUCGUUUAAUGCGAGAUGGCUACUCAUUUAAAUCCGAGAAUAAUGGUUGUUCUCUUUAUAUGAGAGAUAUGUUUUAUGGUCAUGCCCCGAUGGUCAAUGGUUUAUUCUUAAUGAAUCUCGAACGUAAUGUUACACAUAUUCAUAGUGUGAAUACAAAAAGAUGUAAAGUUGAUAACGAUAGUCCCACAUACUUGUGGCACAGCCGCCUUGGUCACAUUGGUGUCAAGCGCAUGAAGAAGCUCCAUGCUGAUGGACUUUUAGAGUCUCUCGAUUAUGAAUCAUUUGACACAUGCGAACCAUGCCUCAUGGGCAAAAUGACCAAGACUCCGUUCUCCGGAACAAUGGAGCGAGCAACCAACUUAUUGGAAAUCAUACAUACUGAUGUGUGUGGUCCAAUGAGCGUUGAGGCUCGCGGAGGAUAUCGUUAUAUUCUCACUCUCACUGAUGACUUCAGUAGAUCUGGGUAUGUCUACUUGAUGAAACACAAGGCUGAGACCUUUGGAAAGUUCAAGGAAUUUUAGAAUGAAGUAGAUAAUCAACGUGAUCGAAAAAUAAAGUUCUUACGAUCAGAUCGUGAAGGAGAAUAUUUAAGUCACGAAUUUGGUAUGCACUUAAGAAAAUGUGGAAUUGUUUCACAACUCACGCCGCCUGGAACACCUCAGCGUAAUGGUGUGUCCGAACAUCGUAAUCGCACUCUGUUGGAUAUGGUGCGAUCCAUGAUAUCUCUUACCGAUUUACCACUAUCAUUUUGGGGAUACGCUCUAGAGACAGCUACAAUCACUUUAAAUAGGGCACCGUCUGAAUCCGUUGAGAUGACACCGUAUGAAUUAUGGUUUGGGAAGAAACCUAAGUUGUCGUUUCUAAAAGUUUGGGGAUGUGAUGCUUAUGUCAAGAAACUUCAACCUAAAAAGCUCCAACCCAAGUCGGAAAAAUGCGUCUUCAUAGGAUACCCUAAGGAAACCAUUGGGUAUACCUUCUACCUUAGAUCCGAAGGCAAGACCUUUGUUGCCAAGAACGGAUCCUUUCUGGAAAAAGAGUUUCUCUCGAAAGGAGUAAGUGGGAGGAAAGUAGAACUCGAUGAAGUACUACCUCUUGAACCGGAAAGUAGUGCAGCUCAGGAAAAUGUUCCUGUGGUGCCUACACCGACUGGAGAGGAAAUAAAUGAUGAUAAUCAAGGUACUUCGGAUCAAGUUGCUACUGAACUUCGUAGGUCCACAAGGACACGUUCCACACCAGAGUGGUAUGGCAACCCUGUCCUGGAAAUCAUGUUGUUAGACAACAGUGAACCUUCGAACUAUGAAGAAGCGAUGGCGGACCAAGAUUCCAACAAAUGGCUUGAAGCCAUGCAAUCCGAGAUAGAAUCCAUGUAUGAAAAAAAGUAUGGACUUUGACUGACUUGCCCGAUGAUCGGUGAGUGAUAGAAAAUAAAUGGAUCUUUAAGAAAAAGACGGACGUGGAUGGUAAUGUUACCAUCUAUAAAGCUCGACUUGUCGCUAAGCGUUAUCGGCAAGUUCAAGGGGUUGACUACGAUGAGACUUUCUCACCCAUAGCGAAGCUGAAGUCCGUCCGAAUCAUGUUAGCAAUUGCUGCAUACUAUGAUUAUGAGAUAUGGCAGAUGGACGUCAAAACGGCAUUCUUUAACGGCUAUCUUAAGUAAGAGCUGUAUAUGAUGCAGCCGGAAGGUUUUGUCGAUCCUAAGAAUGCUAACAAAGUAUGCAAGCUCCAGUGAUCCAUUUAUGGGCUGGUGCAAGCAUCGCGGAGUUGGAACAUUCGCUUUAAUGAGAUGAUCAAAGCGUUUGGGUUUAUGCAGACUUAUGGAGAAGCCUGUGUUUACAAGAAAGUGAGUGGGAGCUCUGUAGCAUUUCUCAUAUUAAAUGUAGAUGACAUACUUUUGAUGGGAAAUGAUAUAGAAGUUUUGGACAGCAUUAAGGCCUACUUGAAUAAGUGUUUUUCAAUGAAGGACCUUGGAGAAGCUGCUUACAUAUUAGGCAUCAAGAUCUAUAGGGAUAGAUCGAGACGCCUCAUAGGUCUUUCACAAAGCACAUACCUUGAUAAGAUAUUGAAGAAGUUCAAUAUGGAUCAGUCCAAGAAAGGGUUCUUGCCUGUAUUUCAAGGUGUGAGAUUGAGCUCGGCUCAAUGCCCGACCACGGCAGAAGAUAAAGAAGAGAUGAGUGUCAUCCCCUAUGCCUCAGCCAUAGGAUCUAUUAUGUAUGCCAUGCUGUGUACCAGACCAGAUAUAAACCUUGCCGUAAGUUUGGUAGGUAGGUACCAAAGUAAUCCUGGCAAGGAACACUGGACAGCGGUCAAGAAUAUCCUAAAGUACCUGAGAAGGACAAAGGACAUGUUUCUCGUUUAUGGAGGUGACGAAGAGCUCGUCGUAAAGGGUUACGUCGAUGCUAGCUUCGACACAGAUCUGGAUGACUCUAAGUCACAAACCGGAUACGUGUAUAUGUUGAAUCGUGGAGCAGUGAGCUGGUGCGGUUGCAAGCAGAGCGUCGUGGCGGGAUCUACAUGUGAAGCGGAGUACAUGGCAGCCUCAGAGGCAGCGCAUGAAGCAAUAUGGAUGAAGGAGUUCAUCACCGACCUAGGAGUCAUACCCAAUGCGUCGGGGCCGAUCACUCUCUUUCGUGACAACAUUGAAGCUAUUGCCCUUGCCAAGGAGCCCAGGUUUCACAAGAAGACCAGGCACAUCAAGCAUCAUUUCAACUCCAUCCGUGAAAACGUUCAAGAUGGAGACAUAGAUAUUUGCAAAGUACAUACGGAUCUGAAUGUCGCAGAUCCGUUGACUAAACCCCUUCUGCGAGCAAAAUAUGAUCAACACCAGAACUCUAUGGGUGUUCGAUACAUCACAAUGUAACUAGAUUAUUCACUCUAGUGCAAGUGGGAGACUGUUGGAAAUAUGCCCUAGAGGCAAUAAUAAAAGGAUUAUUAUUAUAUUUCCUUGUUCAUGAUAGUUGUCUUUUAUUGAUGCUAUAAUUGUAUUAUCCAGAAAUCGUAAUACACGUGUGAAUACUUAGACCACAACAUGUCCCUAGUAAGCCUCUAGUUGACUAGCUCGUUGAUCAACAGAUAGUCAUGGUUUCCUGACUAUGGACAUUGGAUGUCAAUGAUAACGGGAUCACAUCAUUAGGAGAAUGAUGUGAUGGACAUGACCCAAUCCUAAGCAUAGCACAAGAUCGUGUAGUUUGUUUUGCUAGAGCUUUUCCAAUGUCAACGUAUCUCUUCCAUAGACCAUGAGAUCGUGUAACUCCCGGAUACCGUAGGAGUGCUUUGGGUGUACCAAACGUCACAACGUAACUGGGUGACUAUAAAGGUAUACUGCGGGUAUCUCCGAAAGUGUCUAUUGGGUUGACACGGAUCGAGACUGGGAUUUGUCACUCCGUAUUACGGAGAGGUAUCACUGGGCCCACUCGGUAGUGCAUCAUCAUAAUGAGCUCAAAGUGACCAAGUGUAUGGUCACGGGAUCAUGCAUUACGGUAUGAGUAAAGUGACUUGCCGGUAACGAGAUUGAACGAGGUAUUGGGAUACCGACGAUCGAAUCUCAGGCGAGUAACAUACCGAUUGACAAAGGGAAUUGUAUACGGGGUUUCUUAAAUCCUCGACAUCAUGGUUCAUCCGAUGAGAUCAUUGAGGAGUAUGUGGGAGCCAAUAUGGGUAUCCAGAUCCCGCUGUUGGUUAUUGACCGGAGAGCCGUCUCGGUCAUGUCUACAUGUCUCCCGAACCCGUAGGAUCUACACACUUAAGGUUCGGUGACGCUAGGGUUGUAUGAAUAUGAGUAUGCAGCAAACCAAAAGUUGUUCGUAGUCCCGGAUGAGAUCCCAGACGUCACGAGGAGUUCUGGAAGGGUCCGGAGGUAAAGAAUUAUAUAUAGGAAGUGUUGUUUCGGCCAUCGGGAAAGUUUUGGGGUCCACCGGUAUUGUACCGGGACCACCGGAAGGGUCCCGGGGGUCCACCGGGUGGGGCCACCUAUCCCGGAGGGCCCCGUGGGCUGAAGUGGGAGGGGAACCAGCCCCUAGUGGGCUGGUGCGCCCCCCCUCCUUGCCCCCCUGCGCCUAGGGUUGGAAACCCUAGGGUGGGGGCGCACCACUUGCCUUGGGGGGCACUCCACCCCCCUGGCCGCCGCCCCCCUUGGGAUAUCUCAUCUCCAGGGCCGGCGCCACCCCUGCGGGCCUAUAUAAAGGAGGGGGGAGGGAGGGCAGUCGCACCCAAAAGUCUUUGUGCCUCCCUCUCCCCUGCUACACCUCCUCCUCCUCCCGUAGUUGCUUGGCGAAGCCCUGCCGGAGUCGUGCUGCAUCCACCACCACGCCGUCGUGCUGCUGGAUCUUCAUCAACCUCUCCUUCCCCCUUGUUGGAUCAAGAAGGAGGAGACUUCACGCUGAUCGUACGUGUGUUGAACGCGGAGGUGCCAUCCGUUCGGCGCUAGGAUCUUCGGUGAUUUGGAUCACGACGAGAACGACUCCCUCAACCCCAUUCUCUUGAACGCUUCCGCACGCUAUCUACAAGGGUAUGUAGAUGCAUAUCUCUCUCUCGUUGCUAGAUGAACUCAUAGACUGAUCUUGGUGAACGUAGGAAAAAAUUUAUUUUAUGCAACAUUCCCCAACACUCGUGGUGGCGGAGUUUCGUCUCGUAAGCUUGCCCACGAAUUUUUCCAGGACAAAACCCUUCAUAUAGCAGAAGAUGGACGUCGGAGGCCCACCAGGGGGCCCAGGAGAUAGGGGCGCGCCCCCUGUCUCCUGGACAGGGUGUGGGCCCCCUGGCCUAUUUCUUUUGCUCAUAAUUCCUUAAUAAAUCCAAAAAGUUGUUUCGUGGAGUCUCAGGACUUUUGGAGUUGUGUAGAAUAGGUUUCCAACGUUUGCUCCUUUUCCAGCCAGAAUUCCAGCUGCCGGCAUUCCCCCUCUUCAUGGUAAACCUUGUAAAAUAAGAGAGAAUAGCCAUAAGUAUUGAGAUAUAAUGUGUAAUAACACCCCAUAGUGCAAUAAAUAUUGAUAUAAAAGCAUGAUGCAAAAUGGACGUAUCAACGGGGGGCCCGAGCAGAACUCGGGGGCGGCUACCCACUUUGUGCCUCUGGGAGCCGUAACAUAAAACCACCUCCGUUGCCAUACAUCGGAUACUUCCGGGAAAGAGCCCUCUGGCCAUGGGGCAUCGGCAUUCCUGCUUAUUAUGGAACCUCCGCACUCCGCAUGUCGCCCCUCGAUCAUCUUCGGCUUCACAUUGAAGGUCUUGAGCCAUAAGCCGAAGUGUGGGGUGACAAGGAGAAAAGCCUCGCACACAAUAAUGAACGACGAUAUGGAGGAUAGCGUCUAGAGCCAGAUCAUGAAAAUCCAACCCAUAGUAGAACAUGAGCCCCCUCACGAAGGGGUCGAGGGUGAGGCCCAGGCCUCAGAGGAAGUGAGGGACAAACACAACGCUGUCAUUGGGAUUCGGUGUAGGGAUAACCUGCCCUGGAGCAGGAAGCCUGUGCUGGAUAUCGGUGGUCAGGUAUCCUACCUCCCUAAGCUUCGUAAUGUCCUCCUCUUGGAUCGAGGAGGCCACCCACUGGCCUUUUGCGUUGGAUCCGGACAUAUUGGAGGAUCUGGGGCGUUGGAGCUUAGGUCUUGGGUGUUAGAACUCAAGGUGCGAGAAGGAGCAAGGGAGGUGGAAAAGAGGCAUAGGCCUCGACCCCUUUAUAAAGGGGGUGAAUAUCAAGAGUCCUCAGCGCGACCGCUUGAGACUUAUCCAAAAGUACACGGAGUCAUACCAACGGUCGUCGUGGGGUCACACACGCCCAUAUUGAUGAAAGAUCCCGUAAUAAGAGGAACCCGAUCUCUACUUUGACAAGACGUGCCAAUAAAACCGCCUCUCAAUGCGAGUCGAGGUGGGGCAAGAAACACCGGUUCGUGUUGGACCAGGACACGAUGCAAGGACACGAUGUACGAAGAUUGCCAGCAGAACAGAUUUAUCUUAUUUUCCCUGCAAUGGUAUGUGAAGAUCAUUUUGCAGAUCCGGACACGGUCUACGUGUUUGAUUAUUACCUUGGAGUAUUCGGGGAAGGAACCUGCCCUGCAAUGCCGAAGACAAGACUGCGCGCCGGACUCAUCUUCAUUGAAGUCUGGUUCAGGGGCUACUGGGGGAGUCCUGGAUUAGGGGGUAUCCGGACUGCCGGACUAUAUACAUCGUCCGGACUGUCGAAGCGUGAAGAUACAAGACUCAAGACUCCAUCCCGUGUCCGGAUGGGACUCUCCUUUGCGUGGAAGGCAAGCUUGGAGAUCCGGAUAUUGUUUCCUUCCUUGUAACCAACUCCAUGUAAACCCUAGCCCUCUCCAGUGUCUAUAUAAACCGGAGAGGUUGGUCCUUAGAAGGCCGAUCACAAUUACAAUCAUACCAUCAUAGGCUAGCUCUUAGGGUUUAGCCUCUAUGAUAUCGUGGUAGAUCUACUCUUGUACUACUCAUAUCUUCAAUAUUAAUCAAGCAGGAAGUAGGGUUUUACCUCCAUCGAGAGGGCCCGAACCUGGGUAAACAUUGUGUCCCUCGCUUACUGUUACCAUCAGCCUAAGACGCACAGAUCGGGACCCCCUACCCGAGAUCCGCCGGUUUUGACACCGACAGGUGGGGGCAGGGGUGGGGGUGGGGUGGCGGAAGAACAUAGGCGGUGGGGGCGGGUGGUCCGGCCGGCAGCCCAUGCGGUGUUCUAUAUGGGAAGAAUCAGGGACGAUGAAGAAGAAGGGUUAGGAGACAUAGGAUCUUCAUACAACCGCCUGAAAUGGUCGAAAGAUAGUAGGGAGUUGCAUUCUUAAUGCGCUCUGGUUCAUCGUGUGUUGGCACUGCGCAACGAACAUUUUAUUAUCCAAAAUCUGCUUGCUCUUCUUUAGCAUGUUCCUCUUCUGUUCUUCUUUAAUAAGUACUCUCUCCGUUCCUAAAUUCAAGUCUUUGUAUAGAUUCCACCAUGGACUGCAUAUGGAGCAAAAUGAGUGGAUCUACACUCUAAAAUGUAUUUGGAUACAUCUGUAUGUGAUCCAUAGUGGAAAUCUCUACCAAGACUUAUAUUUUGGAAUGGAGGGAGUAUGAUAGUAGUACAGUAUGUUCCUUGUAGUGAAGAUGAGUAGGGACAUUUGCAAUGUAGAGGUCUAUACACUCGGUUGUGAUGGACACUUUGAACUCUUCGGGCCUCUUUGAUUCGUAGGAUUUUGUAAACAUAGGAAUAGGAUUUGUAGUGGCCUGCCCACUUGAAUCCUAUAAGAAUAGCAAGGUAAUGCGGGGAGUUGUGUCGCCUUUGAGAGUUACACUGAUAUUAACUGUACCGCACCUUCAGUUGAAGAGAGCUGGUAUCUGAAGCCUUUCUAGCCGUACCGGCAAUACUAGCACAUAUAUUCCAGCAAGUUCCACUUUGCUGAUUUUACUCUGAUGCUUAUGGUUUUCCCGUUAUAUCUACACUAUGAUCUAUGUAGCUGAUUUGUGUCGCACUAGCAGCAGUCCACUCUUGAAGCUAAACACUGCAAUGACUUAUAAAAUUGGCACCAAGGCAUUGAGUGCCAUUCUGGAUGCAAUUGAACUCAUACGCUCCCCACCUAUUGAUUCUUGUUCAGAAUAUGAUCCUAAUGACUAUUCUAACCUCGAGGAGUCAAAGGCAGAUGGUCUGCCCUAUUCACCUAUCAAGGUUCCUAUUCUAAUUUGGCAAGGUUUUAUUGAUUGCGCGUAUCUUGCAUAUGUUGUCUUGCAUUUCUUAUACUUUGUUGCACCGCUAUCUGCUUAGUUUACUCAUCAUAUAUGUCGACAUGCCAUGCCCAUCCAUUAUCAAUACAUAUUACAUCUGUCAUCAUACCAUGUUUUUCCACUCAAAUGUUGUUCUUGUGCAUCAGCCAUCAAAAAGGAAGAGGGUGAUUGCCGAACCUGAAGGGGCACCAGCAAAGUCCUUGAAAAACAUGGUGGUGCCGGAGAAAUCAGACAGCACCCCACUUAUAUUGGAUGUACAACCAGUGACACAAAACGUAGGACCGACUCCAGUAGACUGUACCCAUACUUCACUGGCCACACCACUAGCCCCACCACACAGGACCUACACUCCAGCAAAAGGUAUACCAAUUUCAGUUGCCAUAGCACCAGCCGUACCACAGAAAAAUCCCACUCCAGCAAAAAGUACAGCAAGUCCACCGGACGAAGACUUAUCCCAAUUGUAGAGAUGGCCAAUUCCUGCAGAUUGGAACCCCAUUCCAGUUAUUCCCAGUUUAAAAGACAAUGCUUUCAAUGUUGUUAGGGACUACAUGCAUAUAUUCCCAUCAUGGGAAGAUUAUAGUGAAGACAAACACCAUUUUCACAUCUUCCUGUCCAACUUACGUGUAAGUGCUAUUAUUCAUGGUUAUUAUUUUCCUGUUUUCUGCUCGUUGAACACAUCAAUGAUUUACAUUACAUUGUUGUAAGUAGGAGAGGGUCAAUCUGGAUAGUCAUGACAAGCAAAGCUUGGUUGUGAUUUUCAAGGAAGCAUUGCAGCAGUAUCGGCUUUACCUGAGGAAAUCACACUUUGAUGGCAAGUCUAUAAAUGAAUUUCCGAUGAAGUCUCCUGUGCUAAAUUUAGAAGACAUUGAAUGGAAAAACCUUGUUAUGCACUGGUCUCGUUCCCAGGAUGAGGUACUAUCUAUGAAAUCAAAUGACAAUUUGAGCUUCUACUUUUUUGCAUGUGCCUUACGGAUAUUUUUUGCAGGAAAUCUACUCGAAAAAGAAUUCCGGUUUGAAAAGAAUGACAGGAUAUCACAAAUAUGUUGCUCGCUGCUUGGCUCUUGUUAGUACAUGUUGUCCUAUAUCACUGUACUUGCAUACAUACCUGGUUCAUUAUGUGACAGCAGUAGGCAUGAUAGCUUGCUUAUCAAUUGUUCACUCCAAAUUAUCUAAUCUGUAUGAAUGGUUACAUUAGAGUAAAAUAUAUCCAAUGCCAAUGAAUUUUUUUAGCUCUGCAUUGUUCUUGUAAGUACUUGUUGUCCUUUAUUAGUGUACUUAUAUUGACAGGUAGUUGUUCAUGCACCAUCACUCUGCAGCUUAUUUUCCUUUGGCCUCCAUUUUCUACACAUCAUAUCUAUAUUUACUCUUACCAUAAGGUUGGAUAACACCGAUGGUACUAAAGAAGUUUAGCUGUGCAUUGCUCUUGGUUGUACAUUUUGCCUGUAUCGUUGUACUUACAUUUAUAGCUACUUGGUUAUGUAGCAUCACUCUUCAUCUUAUCUUAAAUAUUCUCCAUUUUUUUCUUAUAUUAUCACAUCUAUAUUUACUCGUAACAAAAUGUAGAAUAAAGGCAACGCUUAUGAAGAAGAUUUUGUGAUAAACUUCUUGAAUUGCCCCCCAUCAUCAUGGACAAGGGCUUUAUAGAGCCUGUCUUCACCAAUAAUGUAAGUUUGUCCUUCUCAAGCCUUCAAACUUUGUUGUGUAUAUUUGGUUAGGCAUGACUGCAAUAGUUGUUUAUUUUUGGUGUUUGCAUCAAAUUGCAUGUUCAAAGUUUAUUAUGUAGUUCAUAAACAAAAGUUUGUCCAUCUCAAUUUAAGUUUUCAGUUGUACAACCAAGUUCCUUCUUCAUACCAUGUAAAUUAAACUAUACAGAGCAAGUGGUCUUCUUUUGCACUACAUGUAUGCUUCUGUUCUUGAUCCGUAAUCCAGUGGUGUGGUGAACCUACCCACUAUAGCGCAAUGUAAUAUUUUGCAAUGUCUUAACUGUGAACAAUGUCAUGUCAUUCUACUAUUAUUUAAACUGUCUCUUUGUUUGCCAAACUGAAAUGGGAUAAAUUGACAGCACACUAAACAUUGAUACUUAUGAGUUCUUGAUCUGUAAUCCAAUGGUGUCGUGAAGCUGCCAACUCCUUCACAAUGUCAUUUCAUGCCAUGUCUAGACCUGAACAAUACCAUAUUGUGUUAAUGCAAUUUUAAACUGUGUCACUUUAUUCGUCAGUAAGAAAUGCGAUGAAUUGUCAGCACUGAUACUUUUAUGUGCAAAACCUGUCAUAUGUCUGCUUGUUUAUCUUUCAGAGCAAGGAGGAUAUAAGUGUUAAACAAGCACAGUCUCAUCAGCUUGCUCAGCUGCUUGCGCUGCAGCUCCCCAGCAGGGCUAACCUUUCUUGAACUCUAUUGAAGUGUUGUCGCUUUUAUAUAUUAUUUUCUCGGCGUGUUUAUUUGCACUGGUGGCGAUCUUUGAUGCCCGGUGUAUGUAAUCUGUUGUCUGCUUGUGCUUUAUUGUCAUAGUGGCGAAAUUUGAUGCGUAGUGGAUGUAAUAUGCCGUAAUUUAUUUAUUGUAUAGUCUAGGUUUUUUCUUAUUCAUGAUGUUGCAGUUAUUUUACUGUAUAUAUAUAUAUAUAUAUAUAUAUAUAUAUAUAUAUAUAUCAUGUCUUCGUAGUAAACCAGCCAAACUGUAAAAUUACGGUAUAUAAUCGGGCCGUCAUGCAAUCACGAUGUAUGAUCCGCAUCAUGGGCUCCGUCAUCUUGGUCUGUUAAAAGGCCUAAAUGUAAACUGGCCCACUAGUAGAUUCGAGCCUUUAAUAGGCCGAGUAAACCGCCGGCCCUCUUUUCGCAAGAACACUCAAUUGGCUUUUAGGAGGCUGAGAAGUAGGUUAGGCCUGAAACGUGCCGAAUAGCUCACGGGCCGGUAGCAGCCCGAAACGGACCCCGGCCCAUGAUUGUGCGAAUCAAAUCCCGGGCUUUUAACAGGCCAAAAUUGUCUCGGUCCUUAUUUAGCCCAAUCAGAUUAUCGGCUGUGAGCAGGCCGGAUGCAAACCGGGCCGUAGUUAGGCGCAACUAUAUGAUGGGCUUUUAACGGGCCGAAAUUAAUAUAGUAUCAAAAUGUUAAACGGACCCUUAACAGGCCGAAACUAAUAUCAGGCUGAAUUACUAAAUGGGCAUUUAGCAAGUGGGCCCAAAAGCAUAACGUCCAGUUGACGGGCCGAAUCUGAUAUGGGCCAUAAUUUAGCCCAAAGCCUCUUAAAGGGUCGGACCUGAUCUGGGUCGUAAUUUGGCCCGGAACGUGGUAGGCUUUUAACGGGUCGGAUCUCAUAUGGGCUAUUAUUAGGCCUAGAACAUGGAGGCCAUUAAUGGACCGGAUCAAUAUGGCCGACAUUUGGCCCAAAACAUGGCAGCCAGUUAAUGGGCCGGCCUACUAGGGUCCUCAAAAUCUUGUGGGCCUACAGCUGGACCGGCCCAUUAAUGUCGGCGAAAUCUCGUGGGCCUUUAGUUGGUCCGGCCCAUUAUGAUCCGCAAAAAUCUUGUGGGCCUUUACUUGGGCCAGCCUAUUAUGGCCCACAAAAAUCUUGUGGGCCUUUACCCGAGCCGGCCCAUUAUGGCCCGCAAAAUCUUGUGGGCCUUUAGCUGGGCCGGCCCAUUAUGGUCCGCAAAAUCUUGUGGGCCUUUAGCUGGGCCGGCCCAUUAUGGUCCGCAAAAUAUUGUGGGCCUUUAGUUGGGCCGACCCAUUUAAACUUUAUGGGCCAUUUUUGGGUCGGUCCACGUGUCAACAUAUCAUAGGCGCAUCUCACCCAUUGGAUGAGGACACCUGUGGAAACGCGGAGCUGACACGUGUUUCCUCCGGCCAAUGACGAUUUUACACGUGGAAAAUCCCCAUUGGUCCGGGCUGUUAACGGGUUAUCGGAUCCAAAACCGGACCCGAUAGCUUAACGGUGUUCCGUUACGGUGGAUGCCACGUGUCGGUCACCCUUGACGAAAUCACUUCUGUGAUGCGCGAUUUAUCGUCAUGGAAGAGGACACUUCCGUGAUGAUAAUUUUGGUAAUGUCAUGGAACACUUCUACGAUAGCACAUGUAUGACUAUAUUGAUUUUGUCAUAAAAUCCUCAUGGAUGUACAUGCAUGACAAAAAACGCGACCUACUGUGACAAAAACGUAUCAUCACGGAAGUGUACUUUUUUGUAGUGAUAAUUAGAAGUUGAGUUUCGAGAAAGGGUUAGAUGCAAAGAAAUUUAACUCAAAAUUUAAGGAUUUCGAAGUUAGAGAUACCAUCCAUACAGUUACUAAGCUCCCAGGGAAUAGAGGCGUGGGAGAGCUCCAAUGUUUUAUCUAGUGGACUCUGCAUGUCAGUGUAUGAUAAACGGAUAAAGCAGCUACAUGCUGCCAGUUUGGGCCCAAACUAUGGCACCGGAUUUCAUUGUGCGAGACGAGGAAGAGGGAGAACUAGGUUAUGUUUAUUACCACGCUGCAAACAUAGUAGGGGUCCAGAGGACGAACACCUAUAAAACCCGACCUCACUGGUGGGGCUUUGUGUGUAGCCUAGGUGAAAGUGCAACUAUCCCUAGGUGGUUUUGGUAAUUCCUAACAACAUAUAGCUCAUUGAGCUAAUACUAUUCCAAGACAAAUAUUUCAGGAAAUCUCAAUGAAUAGCAUGGCAUGGAUGAGAAAAGUGGAUCCCUCAAAAUACUAAGGAUUAAAGGAUUGGCUCAAGCUUCAAGCUCAAGACUCUACAUUUUAUAUUUUAGUGAUCCAAGAUCACAUUGAGUCUAUAGGAAAAGCCAAUACUAUCAAGGAGGGAUGAGGUGUUGCUUAAUGAGUUUCUUGCUUCAUAAGUGCUUAGUGAUAUGCUCCAAAACCCUCAACUACUUUCCCACAUCCACAUAUGACCUAAACCAAAAGUCAAACUCGGCCCCACCAAUUAUUUCUAUCCGGCGCCACCGAGUUCAGAUGUCAUAGCCACUGCCACAAACCAUAGGCAAAUCGGUCUUACCAAUAGGGAUCUCGGUCUCACCGAGAUGGGAUUGUAAUCUCUCUGUUUCCCAUCGUAAUGUUUCGGUCUCACCGAGAUGAGCGAUCGGUCCCACCGGGAUUGCAAUGUAAACUCUCUGUUUCCUUUUCGUAACAUUUCGGUCUCACUGAAAAGAGCGAACCGGUCCCACCGAGUUUACCUGACCAGCUCUCUGGUUAGCUUAUUACCAAAAUCGGUCUCACCGAGUUUGUGUAAUAGGUCUCACCGAGAUUACGUUAUGCCCUAACCCUAACCAUAUCGGUCCUACCGAGUUGCAUGUCGGUCCCACCGAAAACCCUAACGGUCACUAGGUUUACUAAAUCGGUCUGACCAAGUUUGUUGAUUCAGUCCCACCGAUAUUGAUAAAUUGUGUGUAAUGGUUAGAUUUUGUGUGGAGGCUAUAUAUACCCCUCCACCUCCUCUUCAUUCGUGGAGAGAGCCAUCAGAACAAACCUACACUUCCAACUUACCAUUUCUGAGAGAGAACCACCUACUCAUGUGUUGAGACCAAGAUAUUCCAUUCCUACCAUAUGAAUCUUGAUCUCUAGCUUUCCCCAAGUUGCUUUCCACUCAAAUCUUCUUUCCACUAAAUCCAAAUCCUGUGAGAGAGAGUUGAGUGUUGGGGAGACUAUCAUUUGAAGCACAAGAGCAAGGAUUUCAUCAUCAACACACCAUUUGUUACUCCUUGGAGAGUGGUGUCUCCUAGAUUGGCUAGAUGUCACUUGGGAGCCUCCGACAAGAUUGUGGAGUUGAACCAAGGAGUUUGUAAGGGCAAGGAGAUCGCCUACUUCAUGAAGAUCUACCGCUAGUGAGGCAAGUCCUUCGUGGGCGACGGCCAUGGUGGGAUAGACAAGGUUGCUUCUUUGUGGACCCUUCUUGGGUGGAGCCCUUCGUGGACUCGUGCAGCCGCUACCCUUCGUGGGUUGAAGUCUCCAUCAACGUGGAUGUACGAUAGCACCACCUAUCGAAACCACGGCUCAAAAAUCACUGUGUCUCCAAAUUGCGUUUGAAAUCUCCAAACCCUUCCCUUUACAUUCUUGCAAGUUGCAUGCUUUAUUUUCCGCUGCUCAUAUACUCUUUGCAUGCUUGCUUGAAUUGUGUUAAGAUUGCUUGACUUGUGCUAAUUUGCUAAAAUCUGCCAAAGACUAAAAUAGGGAAAAGGUUAAGUUUUUAUUUGGUCAAGUAGUCUAAUCACCCCCUCUAGACAUACCUCAAGAUCCUACAAGUGGUAUCAGAGCUUUGGUAUCCAUUUGCUUUGAUUUCCAUAGCUUUUGGUGGUCAUAGCCUUGGUUUCACAACCUAGGAGAGUAUGGCGUCUAGCGAGGGAAACUACCACCGUAGAGGUCCUUACUUUGAUGAUACUAAUUUUGCUAGUUGGAAGCAUAAGAUGAAAAUGCAUAUUCUCGGACAUAACCCCGCCGUUUGGGCUAUUGUGUGUAUUGGCUUGCAAGGUGAAUUCUUUGACGGGAGAGAACCAAACCAUGAAGCUAGCACGAAAGAGUUGAAGAUGCUGCAAUACAACGCUCAAGCUUGUGAUAUCCUCUUCAACGGAUUGUUCCCUGAAGAAUUCAACAAAAUCAACCAUUUUGAGAAUGCAAAGGAAAUUUGGGACACUUUGAUUUAUAUGCACAAAGGUACCGACUCCGUCAAGGAAUCCAAAUUGGAUGUGCUUCAAAGUCAACUUGACAAGUUCAAGAUGAAGGAUGGUGAAGGCGUCGCUGAAAUGUACUCUAGGCUUGCUCUCAUCACAAAUGAGAUUGCCAGCUUAGGAAGUGAAGAGAUGACCGACAAAUUCAUCAUCAAGAAGAUCCUAAGAGCCUUGGAUGGAAAAUAUGAUAUUGUAUGCACAUUGAUCCAAAUGAUGGCCAACUACAAGAAUCUCAAGCCAACGGAGGUCAUCGGAAGAAUUGUUGCUCAUGAGAUGUCGCUUAAGGAUAAGGAGGAGUUGCACAACAAGUCAAGUGGUGCUUACAAAGCCUCAUGUGAAGCUCCCACAUCAUCAAGUGAGAAGCAAACCUUCAAUGAAGAAUUGAGCCUAAUGGUGAAGAACUUCAACAAAUUCUACAAGAGUAGAAGCAAGGAAAGAAGUUCCAAGUCAAGGUCCUACAAUGACAAAAGAUCUUCCAGUCGAGACCGAAAUUUCUACAACUGUGGAAGACCCGGACACUAUUCCAAUGAGUGUACGGCUCCCUACAAAAGAAGAGAAGAUUCACCUAAGAGGAGAAGUAGAAGAGAAGAAUCACCGCCAAGAGAGAGAAGGAGUAGAGAUGAUCAUUAUAAAUGAAGAACAUACCGGAGAAGCAAGGAUUCAGAAAGGAAGGACAAGUCAUCAAGGAGCUACACAAAACUAAGACAUCAAGCUCAUGUUGGUGAAUGGGUAUCCGGUUCCGACUCUGAACAUCACUCCGAGAGAAGCUAUCACUCCGACUCAGAACAUACUCAAGAUGAAGGUGUUGCCGGUCUAGCACUUGUGUCAACCAACUCCCACGACAUAUUUGAUUCACCAAAUGAAGGACUUGGAAGAUGCUUCAUGGCUAAAGGCCCAAAGGUAACACACCCCGAGUAUGUUGAUUUCAAUAGUGAUGAAGAUGACUUGCUAGGUGAUGAUGAUUUACUUAUUGACAACUCUAGUGAUGAAUACUAUGAUGAAACAUCAAUUAAUCAUGCUAAUCAAGAUAAAACGAAUGACGAUGAUAAGGAUAAGAUUGAGCUCAUAACUAAAGAACUAAACACUCUUAAGUUAGCUCAUGAAACUAUCUUAGGGGAUCAUCGAGAACUUUUAAGGACUCAUGAGAAGUUACACUUUGAAAAGCUCAACCUUGAGCAAGAGCAUGAGUUCUUAAAGGCAAUCAAUGAUGAUCUUCCCAAGAAAAGUUCUUCUUACAUUGCCAAGCGUUUACUCUUAUCUACUUACAUUCCCCAAGUCAAGUCUAGUAACAAAAACAAGAAGGAUUCUUCCUCUAGUAGUAACAAUAAUCAUGCUAAAUCCAAUGUUGUUGCUUCUAGUAGUUCUCUUGAUUCCACUAAUGAUUCUCUUAGCCAAGUUACACUUGAGCAAGAAAAUAGCUUAUUGAAGGGAAUUAUAGAGAAAGGUGUUUACAAGAGCCCUGCCGGAAGUAAGCAAUUCGAAGAAAUUGUACGCAAGCAAGGAAGGCACUAGAAGAACCAAGGUGUUGGUUUUGAACGAAAGUUCAAUGCCAAUGGAGUUGAGUGGGAAGAAGAUCAAUACCCCAAGACGAAGUUUGUUCCUCAAUGAGAGAAGUAUGAUCCUACUUCAUUCAAAGGGACACAAGCUCAAGAUGAUCUUCCACCACAAGACCACAAGCAAAAAGGCAAGGAUGAGCUUCAAGAGGAGAUUGAUGCAUUUGAAGAAGCUCCCAAGGCCUUGGUAAAGUGGAUCCCCAAGACUACAUCAAGCUCUACUUCAUCAAGUACGACUACAACUCCAAGGAUUCCCAUCAACAUGGUGUGGAUCCCGAAGAAGAAGAACUAGAGAGUUCUUGAGGGUGACUCCGCCAACAUCCUUCACUCAUAUCAUUUUGGCAAGGACAAGUGCAAUCAACUUCCACAUCUUGCACUAGUUCAAGGAGUCACAAACCCUCUUGUUGGUAAGACAAGGGACAAGGUAACCUAAUGCUUUCAUAGACAUCAUCUUGUGUGUGCAUCACUCUAUGUCUAUGGAUAUCCUUGUUUGUUCCUUGUGGGACUAACCCGUGUACGUAUUGAAAGUGCAACUCACUACAAAGGAUUGCUCCAAAUGAUCUACAUCAACAUUGAGCAUCCACAUCUUCAGCACCUACAUGAAGUCAUCAUCGACAAAACCCAAGGUUAGUUCAUCCCUCUAUAAGGGGGAUCUCACAUCUAGGGGGAGAUUUACUAUAAGAAUUGAGCUAAAGCAACUCUAAUGGUGUGAACACAUCAAUGCAUUAUGUAAAAGUGGUAACCCCACUUGAGCUUAAACGAUGAGUAUGACCUAUGAUCAAAUGUUCUCAUUUGACUCCUAAGUCAAUAUACUCAUAUAUAGAUGACCUAGUCAUCGCCAAUUGCUUGAUAGAUGCUAGAAUUAGUUGUGCAUGCUUUGCCACAUAUUUCAUUUGUCAUUUAUUGUGUGAGCAUGUUGAUUGCAUAUUUUACUCAUUCGAGGACAUCCACUUGUAGUUUUGCUUGUUUGGCUUCUUUUUCUUUUGGCCAAGUGGAUGGACAAGAAUGCCUAAGAACCUUCUCUAGCUAUCUAUGCUUUUCUUGUCUCAAACUCUAUUCAUGCUACAUCACAAAAAUUGAUCAAGUCAGAUUCUAACCACUCUGUGUGAGGAGCACUCGGAGUCCCCGUUUCGUCAUAGACUUAAACUUCCAAAACUUCUUUGUGCGUCUCGGUCCGACCGAUUCUUCCAUUUCGGUCAUACCGAGAUCACUAAGUCGAUCUAGGUUUUCAAUCUCGGUGCAACCGAUUUGAACAUUUCGGUCUCACCGAGUUGCAGUAAUUGCUUGCAGUAAUGCAUCUCGGUGCCACCGAGUUGUUCCACUCGGUCACACCGACAGGGUCGGGCUAUAUAUACCCAAGGGCAAAAAAUUUGGAAAUUUCUCCGAACAGUUUCGCCCGCGCUCAGCCCACUCUGCCUCCAGGGUCUCCGGAUCGUUCUCCUCAUCUCCAGCCGCCUCCCGCCGCUGGUAUCCGCCGCUGUCAAUGGGAAUCUCCACUGCCGUUGCCACCGUAGAAAGUCCAUCGCCGAGCUUGGGUAUGGACUUGAUCACUAUGCUAUUCUAAUCUGAUUCCUAGCACAUUGUGUUCGUCAUGAAUCUUGCCACGAUUGAAACUAUCUCAUCUAGUCAAAACUAUCCGUAGAUUAGGUUUGGAUUGAAAAUUUAGGGUUAGGUUUCCGCCGAAACCAUCUUGGAUCCACCGAGUUGUAGAAAUCGGUUCCACCGAUUUGGCCAAGGCCAUUGCACUUGUGAUUCUCAGUCUGACCGAGAAUUGCAAAUCGGUGUGACUAAGAUCAGAACUUUGUGAAACCCUAGCAGUCUCGGUGCCACCGAACUAUGACUCGGUCUGACCGAGUUCACUAGUUUAAGUUCCUAAAGCUGCUUCGGUAUCACCGAUUUCACAAAUCGGUUGAUCUGAAAUGCUUUCUGUGGAAAACUAAAACUAAGUUUUUAACUCAAUCUUUUGCAAAAACCUCUGUAUUUUGCGAUGCUUAUCCUCUCUAUCUCAUCUACAUCUAUUCACAGGGUCAGCAGUCAGUGUUUGCAACAUUUCUGAUCAAAGUGACAGCCAGAACAGGGAAGAGGAGCAGAUUCCUACGAGUGAGGGCACUAGUACCUCUAGUUCCUCAGAUGAGGGCAGCAGGAGCACCCCAAGCAACUUACCCAAAGCUGCCACCAGGAACAGGAAGAAGAAAACCUCAGACUCUGAGGAUGAAGACUAUGUGGUAGAAGAGGAUGAAGCCACCUCCAGGAAAGUGCUCAAGAAGGAGUAUGGCACUACUGCAGUCACCAAGCCAGGUCUGAACAGGAAAGUCCCUGCCAAGAGGACUCCUAUGCUGAAAGUCAGAGCAUCAACUCAGGAAACUGAGAGAUCAGAACCCAAGGAGCCAGUAGUGGCUGAAAAGAAGAGGAAGGAAAGGGUCAAGAAGACCAUGGCCAGGGUUGUUGGGAAGCCUUCCAUGAUGGAGGAGGAGGAAGAAGAAGAGGCUGCUGCUCCAGCUCCCAAAGCUCAGAAGCUCAUGGGUGAUGCCAUAAGAUCAGGGGCUGCUUCAUCAAAGCCCAAAGAAGCACCUAAGGCUGCUUCCAAGCCCAAGACUGCACCAAAGAGGAAUACCAGGAACAUCCCAGCUACUAAAAAGAACAAGGCCCCAGUGCCUGAAGUUGUUGCAGAAGAAGAAAAAGAUGAAGAGCAUGUUCUGAGAAAGCUGAAGCCUAAGAUUCCAGAUCAUAACGAUGUUCAUCCGGUUGCUGAGAACAUGAACCUGAGAAAGGAUGCAGGACUCAGAUAGUGGAGGUUAACUGAUCCUUAUGCAGUCAGGAGGAGAACUGCUGUGGACUACAGGUUCCAUACAAAGGAACAUCAGGACUUCUAUGAGACUGUGCUGCUGGACAAGAAACCAAUAGUCUGUGAUAUGAGAUGGGUAGAUUGGAAAUACAUCAAGGAGAAUGAGGAACACUACCCAGGAGUGCUUGACAGCUUCAAGGGUUAUGGAGUGGAUGACUUUGUUGGGCAGAAGCUCACAAAGUGGAAUGAUGAGCUAAUAAUGCAAUUUUACUCCACAUCACACUUCUAUCCAGAUGGCAGAAUAGUUUGGAUGUCUGAAGGUACAAGGUACCAGUCUACUAUUGAAGAAUGGGAAAAUCUGAUCAAUGCACCAAAGGAGAAAGAGGAUGACUUGGAUGUCUAUGCCAAGAAGAAGAUGGAUCACAACUCUAUGGCACACAUGUACAAGGAGAUCCCAGAUGAUGCUCUUGAGACUCACAAGUUUGGGUCUGUACAUUUUCUUCUGUCAGGACUGCCAACUAUCAACUGGAUCCUCAGGCACACACUCUUGCCCAAGUUAGGUGAUCAUAACAUGAUCAGAGGCCAUGCUAUUAAUCUGCUACACUUAUUUGAUGUGCCUCAAAAGUUCAAGGUGAUGAGCCUCAUUGUUGAAACAAUCAAGAGGACAGCUGCACACAAGAAGAGAAGUUGUGGGUAUGCCCCCACAGAUCCAGGAGCUGAUUAACUCCAAGAUGGGCACUGGCACUUACUUGUUGUACAAGGAUAACAUGCCUAUCUAUCCAGACUUUGAGGACAACCAAGUGGUUAUGGAUGAAAAUGAACCAUCUUUAGUGCAAGCACAAGCGAAGAAGGAGAAGGCAAAGACUGAGAAGGAUGCCAAGAUGCCAACAAUUGAUGAGGCAUCUGAGUACUUCCUGAAGAGCAAACAAGACCAGCUUGGUUACUUGAUAGCAUCCACUCUAAGGGUUAAGAAAGGGUUGGCCACCCUAACUCAAACCAGGAGAGCCUGGAGAGGAUCAUGGAGCAGAAGUUCUAUGACUUGGAUGUGAAAGUAACUGAGAUCCAGUAUGUUGUUGAGCAACUCCAAGAUGGCAUGCAGGAGAGGAAGGGGAAGACAACCACUGAGGCAUUUGCUAGAGUGCCUAGAGCUCAGAGAUCAGCUGCUGUGCCUGUGACAGAGACAAGAGCAACAUCAUCUGCACCUGCUAUAGCUUCAGUGCCACCAGCUCCAGCAUCUACUCCACAAGCUCCAACUUCAUCAACUGAUGCCUUCGUCCUUGGAGUCAUAUGUACACCACCACAUCAAGACCAAGCCUGAGAGAUGACAUAGUCCUAUGCAUUUUCUAGGAACUUUUUGGUAACUUGUUGCCAAAGGGGGAGAAAGAUGUAUAGAUCAUAGGCUUCGAGAGAGAGAGAGUUUGCUUUUGUUCUCUCUUGUCUUUGUGGUUGAACUUUAUUUGCUUUUGCUUGCUUGAGAUACUUUAUUGCCUGUGUGAUACAAUGAUGAUCAUGUGUUUGAUCAUAUGCUACAUUAAUGCUUGUUGGAUGACAUUAUCCACUUUAUCUCUAUACGAUCAUUCACUUUGCUUGGUGAUGAGUGCAUGUAUUUUGAGUAUUAUCAUUUUGAGUGCUCCACCAAGAUGUAUGUGACAUGGGAGAGUAACUCAUGAACCUAACUCUAUGUGCAUUUGCAGUCCAAAGCAAAUCUUAAACUAUGCACAAAUUUAGGGGGAGCUCUCACAUUUCACAUACUUCUCAAAGCGAUGAUGUUUUUUAAUCUUAUUAUCUUUUGUCGAAGCUUUGAUCUAUAUGUUGUCAUCAAUUACCAAAAAGGGGGAGAUUGAAAGUGCAACUAUCCCUAGGUGGUUUUGGUAAUUCCUAACAACAUAUAGCUCAUUGAGCUAAUACUAUUUCAAGACAAAUAUUUCAGGAAAGCUCAAUGAAUGGCAUGGCAUGGAUGAGAAAAGUGGAUCCCUCAAAAUACUAAGGAUAAAAGGAUUGGCUCAAGCUUCAAGCUCAAGACUCUACAUUUUAUAUUUUAGUGAUCCAAGAUCAUAUUGAGUCUAUAGGAAAAGCCAAUACUAUCAAGGAGGGACGAGGUGUUGCUUAAUGAGUUUCUUGCUUCAUAAGUGCUUAGUGAUAUGCUCCAAAACCCUCAACUACUUUCCCACAUCCAUAUAUGACCUAAACCAAAAGUCAAACUCGGCCCCACCGAUUCUUUCUAUCCGGCGCCACUGAGUUCAGAUGCCAUAGCCACUGCCACAAACCCUAGGCAAAUCGGUCUUACCAAUAGGGAUCUCGGUCUAACCGAGAUGGGAUUGUAAUCUCAUUGUUUCCCUUCGUAACAUUUCGGUCUCACUGAGAUGAGCGAUCGGUCCCACCGGGAUUGCAAUGUAAACUCUCUGUUUCCUUUUCGUAACAUUUCGGUCUCACCGAAAAGAGCGAACCGGUCCCACCGAGUUUACCUGACCAACUCUCUGGUUAGCUUAUUACCAAAAUCGAUCUCACCGAGUUUGUGUAAUCGGUCUCACCGAGAUUACGUUAUGCCCUAACCCUAACCAUAUCGAUCCUACCGAGUUGCAUGUCGGUCCCACCGAAAACCCUAAUAGUCACUAGGUUUACUAAAUCGGUCUAACCGAGUUUGUUGAUUUGGUCCCACCGAGAUUGGUAAAUUGUGUUUAACGGUUAGAUUUUGUGUGGAGGCUAUAUAUACCCCUCCACCUUCUCUUCAUUCGUGGAGAGAGCCAUCAGAACUAACCUACACUUCCAACUUACCAUUUCUGAGAGAGAAUCACCUACUCAUGUGUUGAGACCAAGAUAUUUCAUUCCUACCAUAUGAAUCUUGAUCUCUAGCCUUCCCCAAGUUGCUUUCCACUCAAAUCUUCUUUCCACCAAAUCCAAAUCCUGUGAGAGAGAGUUGAGUGUAGGGGAGACUAUCAUUUGAAGCACAAGAGCAAGAAGUUCAUCAUCAACACACCAUUUGUUACUUCUUGGAGAGUGGUGUCUCCUAGAUUGGCUAGGUGUCACUUGGGAGCCUCUGACAAGAUUGUGGAGUUGAACCAAGGAGUUUGUAAGGGCAAGGAGAUCGCCUACUUCGUGAAGAUCUACCGCUAGCGAGGCAAGUCCUUCGUGGGCGACGGCCAUGGUGGGAUGGAAAAGGUUGCUUCUUCGUGGACCCUUCUUGGGUGGAGCCCUUCGUGGACUCGCGAAGCCGUUAUCCUUUGUGGGUUGAAGUCUCCAUCAACGUGGAUGUACGAUAUCACCACCUAUCGGAACCACGGCUCAAAAAUCACGUGUCUCCAAAUUGCGUUUGAAAUCUCCAAACCCUUCCCUUUACAUUCUUGCAAGUUGCAUGCUUUAUUUUCCGCUGCUGAUAUACUCUUUGCAUGCUUGCUUGAAUUGUGUUAAGAUUGCUUGACUUGUGCUAAGUUUGCUAAAAUCUACCAAAGACUAAAAUUGACAAAAGGUUAAGUUUUUAUUUGGUCAAGUAGUCUAAUCACCCCCUCUAGACAUACUUCAAGAUCCUACACUAGGCGUUUCACUAUAGCCCGACAUGGCGUGCCCUAACUAAAGCAAGUUAGUGAAGUUUGAUUUAUUUUUGCUUGUGUUAACAACUGAGCUCAAGCCGUUCAUGAGCUGUGGGGCGAAACAUUGCCAGAUGAACUCAUUGUAAGCCAUCUCUGAAAUACUAAGCUCCAAGGAAUAUGGCCCUCCCAUUGAGGUAAAAUUUUAGAGGCAAAGCCGUCUCUUAAGUGCUAAUUUUAGAGGCGCGUUGAGGUAAUUUUUUUAUGUUCCUCCUAAAUUCAUGAAUGUUUUAAAAAUUUGUGAACAUUUCUAACUUUAGAAAACUUUUGUUGAAAUCCAAGAAAUUUUUCUAAAUUCAUGUACUUUUCAAAUACGCGGACACUUUUAAUUUGUGAGGAUUUUUUUUUAAAAUUCAUGAACAUUUUCUAAAAUUACAGACAUUUUCAAAAUUUAUGAAUAUUUUUAAAUUCACAUUUUUAACAGUGUUUUUUCUAACUUCACGAGCAUUUUAUUUUUUUGAAACAAUUUAAAUAUCCUCUCUAUUUUUCCCCAUGUUUUCCUUUCUCUUUCUUUUUUUCUUCACCUCUUCGGAUGGGUGAGGUCGAGGGAUAGGACAGCCAACUGAAGCGAGCAUCGUGGGUCGGCACAUUUGAUCGUCCUUUGACGUGUUGCAUUUUUGGUUAUUUUGCUGUGGGGAGGGGCGAUCUGGUUUUCUGCUUUGUGCAUUUGUGAUGGGGUCUCCCCAGCAAUCUUGCUGGUUCUGCAGUGAGAAAUCGGGUCACCGGUUUGUCCGUCUUCCCGUUGGGCUCCUCGAGCGAUACAUUUGUGAUGAAAGACUCACGGUGUGCUAGCGUUGGAGAGAGCUAGAACAGAAAAAUCAGACGUUGUAGGAUAGCGAAGCUAACAUGAGAACCCAUCGAAGAGUGGGGAAGCUAGAGAAAAUGGAGACCCAUUUCAAUUAUAUGGUCUGGUAGUAUGAAAAUUGCCAAUACACCCGAACACAAACAACUAGCGAUGGAAACAUUGAACCGAACACCAUAAACCAAAUAAAUAGGAAUAUCGAUCAACUCUAGCUUGGCUUUGAUUUUUGGAGUAGUAAAAGAAUGGCGCAGCAAAGCGCACAUUAGGCUCUAGUAGGGAGCUAUAAUUUGAGAGAAGUGGUAGAGAUGCUCUAAAGUGGACAUUUUGAACUUCCAAUCCAAGCAAACAGAGGUAAGGAUAAGACCUAGAUGUUCUAGUACUUGUAGAAGAAUAUACUUUUUGCAGGGUAGUAAUAGUAUGGAAGAACUGGUUUCAUUAGUUGCUAACUGCAGCAUUCAAAUUCUUUUCAUUUAUGUUCAUGCUUUGAUAUUAAGCCGAUUCAUAUAAAAUAAUCAAUAUGUCAGAAUCAUAGUCGUAAUUAUAGUGGUUAAGAAGAUCUAUCUGUCUACAUGUUGUGUCUCGCCAACAUUUCAAGGGUCACGUGAUCAACAACGCAUGGAUACAAAGAUGCUAGCAUUUUCUGUCGAAAAGCUUCCUGAAAUGCGGGUCACUCUCAAUCAGAUGGCACAACUUUAAAUGAAAGUGACAUUGCUUUUUUUUGUGAAGUCCCGACCAAUGAAACAUCUUGAUUAUCUAAGUACUCACAUAAAUAAAAUUAAGGUCCAUUCCACCAAGUGGUGCCAUCUGCUUAUGUGGUAUGACAAUCACUUGAACGGCCCCUGGUGAAUGCCACAUAAUUGUGGGCACUAACAGUAAUAGCCAAGAUCUGUUCUGAUACUUGCUGAAAUGCCACUGGAAAUGGUAAUCGAAAUUUAUGUGGUCUGCAUGCGAGUUGGCUUUGAUGUCGGUUUCAGAAAUAUUUCGAUCAUAACUGAGAUCAUAACGGUGCUCGGGAGUAGGGCUAUAAACUGUGAGUGUUAGGGGCCUAAACUGUGAGCGCUAGGGGGUGGAUGGAGCAGAAUGUAUUCACUCACAGACACACUUAUGCCCAGUUCUUUUGAACAUAUUGUGAAGAAUCUCGUCCUGGAAAAUCCUGAGCGAAAAGAACUCGAUUUGCCUUCCAAAAUCUCAAGUGGAUUCUGCAGAAUCCUAAUGCAACUCAAAAUCCUCGAAAAACAUAGAUUUUCGCAGAAUCCCAGGAUUCUGGUAAGUCCCACCAAAGAAAACGUUUCGGAUACGAGUUUACCCCUAUUGGAGGGAUAAUUUACAGCUAAACUGCCCCUUUUGCACGACCGAACGGCCCAGCAACCGCUCGAUCCCCAUGAGCGCUAGCCGCCGCUCCGCCCGCCGCCGUCGGACGGGAGCUCCACCAGCCCGCCACCGGCCACCCCCUGGCCGCCCAGCCUACACGCCGGUUCUCGCCUCGGGGCAGCCCCUCUCCUCACGACGGCCCGCCUCGCCGCCGCCGGACGGGAACUCCGCUAGCGCCCCUUCUCACGACCCUCCGGACGGGAGCUCCGUCAGCCUCGCUCCUCUCGCCCCCGCUGGAUAGGCAGCCUGCCGCCUCUGGUCGCCUCUGGCCGUCCUGCCUAGACGCCCGACGGGAACUCUUCUUCUCUGUCUCGUCUCUCUUCUACCUCUAUAUUCUUCCCUGUUUCUCUGUCAACAUCUAGGUGAAUAGAUGGAUGGAUAGAUGCAUGUAUUGAUAAAUAAAUGGUACUGCUAAUGCAUUGAUGUAUGUUUAAAUUUGUAUCUGUCGCUUGACAAUUUCAAUUUGGUACUGCUACGGUGCUCGGUAAUUUUGGUAUGGGCUGAUGAAUAGAUGCGCUGAUGGCUGUAUGUUUUAGAUGGAGAAAGUCGGUGCAGCUAAAGCUAAAGUGUUAAUUCAUUAAACAUUUUCUGUCUAAGGGCACUAUAGACAUUUCGCCACACAACUGAAUCCACAAUCUCAAACUACAAUCUCAGAAAAGAACUGGGCGGCAGAUUCUGUGAGAAAUUUCUAGAAUCUUGAUUUUGCAGAAUCCACCACGAAAAGAACUGGGCCUUAGACCCGUACAAGUCUCACCUCAAAAAGAAAAAACUUAGACCUGUACAAGUAAUACUAGGCUUUAAAGUUGAAUGCUUGAUUGACAAUUUUUUUCUUUUAGAAAAGAAGGAUGACCCCCGGCCUCUGCAUCUCGGAGAUGCAUGCAGUCACUUUAUUGAUUAUUGUCGAAGACCUUACAAAGUAUUACAACAAUAUGCCUGAAUCCGCCAUCCUGGCAACAAAUGCCACUACUAUCCAUAUGAGGAAGGGGUGCUAGCUGGGCCAAAUACCCAAACCACUCGCCUAAGCCUGUCAUCAAAAGCUGGAAGCCCCAGCCGAGCCACAUAUCGGGUCUAGGGCACUAAGCGGUCUGACGCACUCACAUGUGUCGUCGCCGCCAUUUUCAUUGGUCCUUCAGAGCAAAUAUUGAGGCUUCUACCUUAUCAGGCCACUCCGCCAUCGACGCCACCAUGACGCCAGACAGCUACCUCCUCCUGCGCGAGUCCAUCACCGUAUCGGCUGCCGAGUCUCCACUGCGCCAUGCCGCCGAGAUCCGUCGCCUUCAAUGGGCAGGAUGAAACACCGCUCCACCAAAGAAGCCGCCCACUAGUCCCUCGAUCCCGUGUACGCCUCCAAGAAUGACGCUCCCAAUGAGGAAACGAUAUCAACACGCCACCGUCAUCUGAUCUACUGAUCUAGGGUUUCCUCCGGAGGUAGCGGAUAGAGAUCUGGAGCUUCUCCACGGUGAUGCCUUCAGGAAGGUAACGAUAUAAAAGAGUGUCGCCAUUGCGGGUCUUGGCAUCAAGCCGAGAACAAGAUUUUCACUCAGAUCCGCUCGAAGAACCUUCAUCAAGCAUUGUGUGCACGGGUCGCCGCUGAUCUGAGCCGCCGCGCAUCGAGCAGACCGCACCGGCCAGAUCAGAUAUGUCCGGAGGGCAAACCACGCAUAGCACCGACCCAACCACCAGGCCCUCCAUGCCGCCACCGCCGAUCUGAGGUUCGAUGGUCCGUCACGGCAGACCGCCGCCGCCAAAUGCAGCCAAGGCCACUGCCCAAAGCAGGGCCUGCCGCCGCACUCGCCACCGUCGCCGCCCUAGGCCGAGGCGACCGCCGCGCCGCUGCCGGUCAAGGCAUGCCCGCCACGCCGCGAAGGCUAGAUCGGCUGUGCCACCACACGCCGUGGGGCUCCGCACCGCCCCCAUGGCGCAGGAGAGAGGGGAGGCCCCCGCCACCGCCGUCAGCCCCCGGGCUAGGCCGGCGGCGUCCUUCGAUGGUGGCGGAGGGAGGGAUGGAAGGACGGGGAGCCCCCGACGGCUAGGGUUGUGACCCCGCCCGAGUCGCUCGAGCGGGGGCGACGCGGGGGGGGGGAGCGGGAGCGGGCGGCACCAAUCAUGGACUAUGGUCCACCAUGGACAGAUGACCCAGCCCUACACAUCAUAUGCCUUGCUAUCGUGGAGAAAGAAGGUAAAAAAUGGUUGCCUACAGGCCCGAAUGGGUCCUGCAAGAGUGCAGGUGCUUCGUCAGAAAAGAAGAAGGGAAAGAGAAGGAGGCAAAAGCAAUUGAUCAAAGUGGACUAGAUGAGAAGUUAUUGGGUAUCACAAAAAAGAUGGAGAGAGAGAGAGAAGAGGGGAACACAAUGGGCUUGGUAAAUGUAGUGAUUCACAUCUCUGCUCCUAAUCUAGAUGAGCACUCAGCAGUAUAUUAGUGCAUCCAUAGUUCAUGCCCUUACGGACGAUAUGGUCCUAGUUACCUCAUUGCUUAUAUCAUGUACUAAAUGGCAUCACUGGUGGCCUCAUGUCCUAGGAUGAUGUCAUUGUUGACUUCACAGUAACAAACAAAAAUGGUUUGCCGACUUACUCCUUUUGACAGGGUUUGUCUCCACGAUGACAACAAAAACAACUAGCUAAUUGCCCGUGCAUUGCAAGGGACGCAUACACAUUCUAGUGGUUCAACACUAAUUAUAUCUGACAUAUGGCUCACACCCAUCAUAUUCUAGAUUUUGACAAGAUUUAAUUUGAUUUAUUAUGGCUAGGAGGAUGCAAACAAUUUUUUUGAUUUAGUUGAGGUUUUGGUAAGAUUUGGUUUGAUUUAGUUAUUCGUCGGGGAAGCAAAGGAAAGUUUUGUUUUAGUUGUAAUUUUGGCAAGAUUUGAUAUCAUUUUAUUUAGUUAAUUUAGGGCAUCAUCUUGGGAAGUACUGUUUCGGUUUAGAUUAUUUCAAGUUACUCUAUUUAUGUUGUUUUUAGUUUUGUGCAACAUGGGUUGAGAGUACCAAAAAUUAACAUAAAACCAAGGAGGGAGAGGGUGCAUGAGGGGGAAAAUGAGGGAUGAGGGGAGUCAAGGGGACCAACUCUUCUUUAAUAGUAGAGAUUUUGUCAUAUACUAAAUGACAUCACUGCUGACCUUAUGUCCUAGGUUGAUGUCAUUGCUGACUUCACGGUAUAAAAAUAAAAAUGACUUGCCGAUUUACUCCUUUUCAGGGUUUGACUCGACCAUGAUGACCAAAACAAGUUAAUUCGCGUGUGUUGCAACGAAUGCAUACAUUAUUCUAGUGGUUCAACACUAAUUAUACAUGACAUAUACAUUACACCCACUAUAUUCGAGAUUUUGAUAAGAUUUAAUUUGAUUGAGUAGGGAUAGUGGAAUGCAAGAAAAGUUUUUGAUUUAGUCGAGGUUUUCAUAAGAUUUGAUUUGAUUUGAAUUGGGUAUUCAUAAGCAUAAGGGAAGGAAAUGAAAGUUUCGAUUUAGUUGUGAUUUUGCGAAGAUUUGAUUGAUUUAAUUGAUUUAAUGCAGUACAUGAUUUUAGAAAAUGGUCGAUUUGGUUUAGGUUAUUUCAAUUUAUUCAAGAGUCUGUUUUUUUUAAGUAGAGAACUAGUGAUUGACAGAGGAUCCGAAAUGCUCCGCAAAAUAUCCCGAAUGAGUCCAAAGGCUGCGACAUGCUCAGAUCUGACGGCACGUACCCACAAUCUCCAGAUAUUUCGCCUCUCAUCCUCCUCUUAUACCCUGCCACUCACACUCCCCCUUAUCAUCAGUCUCCAGUCUCCACCCAUCUCAGCAAAAAAGAAGCUAGCACAGCUCCACACACCAUGGCAGCCAUGGCCACCACCGCCUCCAGCCUCCUCAAGCCCUCCUUCUCCGGCGUCCGCCUCCCGGCGGCGGCCCGCACCCCGUCCUGCGUCGCCACCCCGCGUGCCGGCGCCAUCUGCAACUCCAUCUCCUCCUCCACACCUCCCUACGACCUCAACGCCUUCAAGUUCAGCCCCAUCAAGGAGUCCAUCGUGUCCCGCGAGAUGACCCGCCGCUACAUGACCGACAUGAUCACCUACGCCGACACCGACGUCGUCAUCGUCGGCGCCGGAUCCGCGGGGCUUUCCUGCGCGUACGAGCUCUCCAAGGACCCCUCCAUCAGCAUCGCCAUCAUCGAGCAGUCCGUGUCCCCCGGCGGCGGCGCCUGGCUCGGCGGCCAGCUCUUCUCCGCCAUGGUCGUGCGCAAGCCGGCGCACCUCUUCCUCGACGAGCUCAACAUCGAGUACGACGAGCAGGAGGACUACGUCGUCAUCAAGCACGCCGCGCUCUUCACCUCCACGGUCAUGAGCCGCCUCCUCGCGCGCCCCAACGUCAAGCUCUUCAACGCCGUCGCCGUGGAGGACCUCAUCGUCAAGGAGGACCGCGUCGCCGGCGUCGUCACCAACUGGGCGCUCGUCUCCAUGAACCACGACACACAGUCCUGCAUGGACCCCAACGUCAUGGAGGCCAAGGUCGUGGUGAGCUCUUGCGGCCACGACGGGCC